CGAAUCUGGAGUCAUUUGCAGAAGAUGGGGGUUUGCCUCCCAACCUCCGAUCUUUUAGCAUUUGGAAUUGUAAGAGACUGAGGGCUUCAUCAGUGGGAGAGUACUGGGGUUUGCAAGCACUUGACUCCCUUGAGAUCGAUGGAAGUGACCAUGUCUUGGAGACGUUGCUGUUCCCUGCCACUCUUCACACUCUCCGCAUCUCUGAUCUAUCAACUCUGAAAUCUUUGGACGGAAAGGGUCUUGGACACCUCACUUCUCUUCAAAAGCUAGAAAUUGACAGCUGUCCAAGUCUGGAAUUACUGCCAGGAGAGGAACUUCAACACCUCACUUCUCUUCAAACUCUAAUUAUUAGUUCGUGUGGCAGUCUCCAAUGCCUGCCAGAAGAGGAUUUGCCGUCAUCUCUUUCUCAUCUGAGUAUCUGGCGGUGUCCUCCCCUGGAGAAAAGGUAUAAGAAUAAGACGGGACAAGAUUGGGCAAAGAUAUCUCACAUUCCUUGCAUCAAGAUAGGAUACGAACUGAUCAUAUAAUAUGAGCUAUUCCAUAUUUCAUGCUCAACCCUCAACUCUCAAAUCAAAGUCAGGUGAGGUGUGUGCCUUCUCUUACUUUAAAAAACUGCUUCUCUUCUUCUAAUUGAAUACAAAAACCAAAACACAUAUUCUCUUUCUCUUCCAAAAACCCAAAUACAUGUUGGACAUUGCCCAAAUUUGAUCUCCAAAUUCCUAAUUAUUUCACGCUUUUUGUUAUUUUAUGGUUGCUGGUCACAAAUUAUAUCCUACUUGGAGUAUCAAAUGCUGAAUAAUUAGCAGUCUUUUUGCAGGACGACAUACCUUCUCUUGGCCCUUGGGGAGCUUUUCAAAAUUUGCAAGGUUUCUUUAUGUGGCAUUUCCAGAGGAGGGUCACAGGGCGGAGAAACAGAAAAGGUUUACCUGGAAUAUCUCAUACAUUCCUGCAUGUAGGCAUCAAAUGUACACCAUUUUUAGGUACUUUUAUAUGAAAAAAAUUGUAUUUGAGUCUCAUUUGCACUAGUUUAAAUCAAAUUUAAUGCCUAUGGAUAGUCUAUUAAUAGGUUCAUGCCAUGAAUUAAUCUUUGGACUUUCCCAGGUACUGCAGGUUUGUUAUUAAUGUUGUGGCUAGGUUGUCUUACGUUGAGGAGAGAGAUCGAUCAGCAAUUACAAAAUUGUUAGCGAAUUUAGUUUGUUUAUCAUCUCUCUCCUUUUGUUUGUUAAGUUUUGUUGUUCUAGGUUAAACCCUUGUCCCCGCAUUUCACAGCAACUCUGUGUUAUUCCACUCUGUUUAGAUUUCAUUUAUGUUGUGAUUCGACUGCUGCUGUAUUUUAGAUUUCGUUCAUGUAAUGUUAGGAUGUUUAAUCUCUGAUCUGUGGUGGUAGUUGAGUAGUUGAGUAGUCUAGUUAAUCCAGUAGAUAACUUGUCCCCUGUUUUGUAUUGUUUUUAUUUCUCUGGUAAUGAAAGCACGUUUCUUAUAAAUAAAUAAAAAAUAUUUCAUUGAUAUUCAUUGCUUAUUUUGAACUGCAGAAGCCUACUUUUGUCAGAGUCAGUAGAUGCCAGAAUGAAGUCAUUGCCUAAACACAUUGGCACCCUCACAGCCUUCGACAUUUUGGGAUAUAUGAUCUUCAAAAUCUUGUGUCAUUUGCCUCCCAACCUGCAAUAUUUUCAUAUUUUAAAUUGUGACAGACUGAGCCCUUUGGUGGGAGAUUACUGGGGUUUGCAAGGACUUGGUGGCAAUAUCUUGUAGACGUUUCUCAAGGAACAGCUGCUCAAUGCCACUCUUCGCACUCUAUAUAUUAUGGCCUGUCAGUCUAAAAUUCCUGCCAGGAGAGGAACUUGAACGCCUCUCUUCACUGCAAAGGCUACAUAUUUGUGGGUGUGACAAUACCCAAUUCCUGCCAGAAGAGCGUUUGCUGCCAUCUCUUUCUUAUCUGUGCAUCGACCAUUGUUUUGCCAUGUAGAAAAGGUAUCUCACAUUCCUUGCGUCAAGAUAGGUGAAGAAGUGAUCAUAAGGUAUGAGCUCUCUCUCCCUCUCGCUCACAUACAAAGUACUUAAACACUCAAUCUGAUUUCUAUUAUUAUUUUGCUCAGUAAAUUUUGUUUAAAUUUGCUUUAUUUCUCAUUGCGCUUGUUCUGCUUAUCACAACUUAUAUCCUAUUUAAAUCUCAAAUGCUGAAUAAUUAGCAGGCUUUUCGCAGGACAACAUAUCUUCUCUUGGAGAGAUAUUCAUUUGCAAGGUUUCUUUAUGUGUCAUUUCCAGAGGAGGGUUUACUAUUUAAUAGAAAGGUUCACCUGGAAUAUCUCAACUGACACAUUCCCAAAUACAAGCAUUGAAUGCACAACAUUUUGAGGUACUAUUUUUGUAAUAAAAAUGUACUUGAGUCUCAUUUGAGCUAGUUUAAAUUGUAUUCAAUGUCUAUGGAUAACCUGUGAGCUUAAGUAGUAAGAUAAAACUCACAGUAUAUUAUUAGGGUUUAGGGUUCAACAGGUGAGCUUUAGUUGUACUUUCCUAGGUACUGCAUGUAUAUUAUCUUCGUAUCAACAGGUGGUCUUAUGUGGACGAGCGAGAACAUUGAGGAAUUACAAAAUCUUCUUAGCUUGUUUCAGCUCUGUUUGUCAUCCCUCACAUUUUCUUUGUUAAGCCUUGAUUUUUUAUUAGACAUAAGAAAAAAUGCUUUUAUAAGACAGGAGAUGAAUGCUUUUAUAUGUUGAUGUCAUAGUCAGUCUUCAACCACACUCUGUUUUUAGAAUUCAUUUAUGUUACAAGUGGAGUGCUGCUGUAUUUUAUAUUUCGUUCCUGUAAUGUUUGGAUGUUUAGCUUGAGUAGUCUAGCUUAUCCAGUAGAUAACUUGUCCCCUGUUUUGUAAUGUUUUUGUUUCCUCUAAUGAAAGCAGGUUUUACUUAUCUUGAAUUGCAGAAGCCUACUUUUUGACAUAGGUGGCAUGGCACAAACUCGCAUCCGCAUUUCCUUCCCCAUUGGCAUGCUGUCUCAUCUUUUCUAUUCUGUUACCAGCUUGAAGCUUGUGUAGACAUGUUAUGCUCUUGUAAUUCUGAUCACAAACAUCACUUGACAAAUGGAAAGUCACAAUCAGAUCUUUCAGGUGAUCUGGAGGUUUACUUUCUAACAUUUGUUUUCGUGGGGGGGGGGGGGGAGGACAACAAUACAGAAUUUAAAAUUUCUGAUAAUCAAUAGUAGUUUGCAUAUAUCAGCUGGGACCUGUAUGACUGUAUUAUGUAAUUAAUUAUUCUCUUAUUGUUUUGGUACUGUUAAAAGGAGUUAGCCACACAAAAUAAAAAAGGAGGCCUCUUAUUUCAUACUAAUCGUCUGGUCCAUCUGCUGCUUCACUCCCUAGUAGCUUCAUCUCCUGUCCUUUGCUUUAUUUCUGUUAUUUAUUUUGAUUUCAUGUCCAUUGCUUCAUUUCUGUUUGGAUUCUUAAUUAAAUCUGUCCUGGACUUGAACAAGGGUUAGGUUAGCUGUAUAAUUUGCGGUUUUAUAUACACAACUGUCUACAUUGAUUAAAACCAGCAUUAUUCUAAGGUUCAUUUAGAAUGUAUUAUCACCAAAAUUAUAAAGUAUACUUCUAUUACAAUUAAUUUGUUGAUUCUAAUUUGGACUUGUAGGAACAGACCAAACAUGUUCAUAUGUGGCAUUGCUCAAGUCAUCAUCAUUCGGGACAGAGAAUAAGCCUUCAAAUGUCUGCUGAGUCAAUGAACCUUUCUAGAUAUCUCAAGUGUAAUGGAAAUUGAUGAGUUACAAAGGAUUUGUAAACAUUUUCUACUGGAGGCUAGAAAUGCUUCAAAUAAAUGACUGUGUUGCAAUUAUUUUGUAGGAUCAAAGACUCUGCAAAGAGGUAAGAAAGUCAUCAUCAAAUAACUUUGCUCUUCAAACUUUUUAUUUUUAUUUUUAAAUAUCAGUAAUAACUGGGAAAGCUUGCAUCUCCUUAAAUUGCUCAUUCUUACAUCUUUUAUAGUUUGUUGAUCUUGGGCAAGUGGAGAGAGAGGCGUCAAGUGAUACACAACAACCAUUUUCUGUGAGCUGAUUUGAUAAAGAGAAAUGGUAUGCUUUCUUGUCUUAAGCGGUGUGUUCUGCAAUUAUUUGAAACAAAGGAUGCCGCACUUCAAGUUCGAGAAAAUCAGGUAUUUUAGUAUUUUAUUCUUGAGAAAUUUGAUUUAUGUAGAAACUUGAACAUGUAAAUGAGAGAAAUAUAUAUAUAUAUAUAUUAUAUAUUGUAUAUGCUGUUAAUGAGUUAAUAUGGUGCUUGCUCCUAGUUGGAAAUUUAUGUAGUCAUCUACCUAUGAUCAAAUAAAGAUGAAAAAUAAAAUAAAAUUGAGAGCAUCUUCCUCUCCCCUGCUUUGCUCAUCCCUUGUUCUUCCACUUCAGCCCCACUAUUACACCAUUUUUUCAGCCACAAUUAUAAUAGCUCCAUGAGCAUAUUAACAUCAGUGGCCACAGUUCCAUGAUUUGAGUGCACAGAAAGGUUUCAAAAAUUGUCCCAAAAGUACAGUCGUUCAAAGUGAAAGAGAGUUUUCAAAGCUUAAUUACAAGUUCAUGUUAUUUACAAUAGCAAAAAGCUUUCAUUCUUGCUUACAAACUUGUAUUUCCAAGUUCUGUAAACCUUGGAAUUUCACUUCAUCCAAAUCCCCUUCCAAAGCAGGAAAAAAUGGCAGCAGCUUUGAUUGGAGAGGCUCUCAUCUCUGCUUCUAUCGAGGUGUUGUGUGACAGAGUUACUUCAGCCGAGUUCAUAGACUUAUUUCAGCAGAAGAACUUGAUGAAACACUCCUCAUGAACCUGAAGACAACACUGUUGAUUUUGUUUGCGGUGCUCAAUGAUGCAGAGGAGAAGCAAAUUGUGAACCCUGCUGUGAGAGAGUGGCUUAACAGCUCAAGCAUGCUGUCUUUGAUGCAGAGGACUUAUUUGAUGAGAUUGACACUGAAGCUUUGCGAUGCAAGCUGGAAGGUGAGGAUCAAACCCACAAUAGUUAACCAACAAGGAUCUUUUUGAUUGUUUGAAAGAAGAGUCUUUGAUGAUUUGAAAGGAGAGGGUUGCUUUAUUUCUGUUGGAUGCGUAAUUAAAUCUUAUUUGGAGUUGAACAAGGAUUAGAUUAGCUGUAUAAUUAGUGGUAAACGCCUUUUUCUAAGGGUCAUUUAGACUCCUAUUACGAUUAAUUUGUUGUUUCUAAUUUGGACUUAUAGGAACAGACCAAAUAUGUUCACACGUGGCAUCGCUCAAGUCAUCAUCAUUUCAGACUGAAAAUCAGCCUUCAAGUGUCUGUUGAGCCAAUAAACCUUUCUAGAUAUAUCAAGUGCAAUGGAAAUUCAUGAGUUACAUAGAGAUUUGUAAACAUUUUGAAGAUUGCAACACCUGCAAGUGAGAUAGGCGGUGACGAAAUCAGAGCUGAUUUUGAAGCCUCUGAUGCCCCUGUUGUUGCAAGUUGCACCUGAGAACAUGUUUUUUUUUUCUUUGGGGUAAAAAAACUGGCAACAUGUUCGGAGCUGACAAUUCAAUCCCUGAUGAACUAGAGAAGCGAAGCUCCGGUAAGGAAUUGGUCAAGGUUGUGACAGGGAUGAUUGAUGGUGAAAUGGAUGCUAUUUCUUAUUGCAGCCUGUUCUCAAAGUUCUUGUUGGCAAAUGCAAGAGAUGGAGUAUUUUGAUUGGGAGGAGAUAUAAUGACAUGGCUUGACAAUUCUAGAACAGCCCAUCAUUAAUCCCAGAAAAAAUCCAGUUUCUGCUAAACAAUCACUUAUGGCAAGGCCAACUCUGUAAAUGGAAUUUGUGAUCCCUUGAAAUUGUACACAUUUUUUCUUUUUGAGGAAUUUAAUCAAACAGUAUUCUAAUGUAUUAUGAUAGCACUACACGCUUUUGUUGUAACAAAUUACAAGGAGGAAUUUGGAUUGAGUUUCUUGUAUAAGCACACCUUACACAAAUUUGGUAUAUUUUCUUCCAGCAAGUCUGUUUAUUAACCCCCUUAUCUGAAAUUAAUUGUUAAAAGUUUUGAUUCAUCUUUAAUCAGUGUCUAACCCUUGUUGAAUAACACUCCUCUUUCUAAUUUAUAUUUGAAGUUUGAGGUUUCAAUUUCAAUUGUGGGCUUUGAUUUUACAGAUUUUGUUUGUCAAUUUCAGUUUGGACAAAGCAUAUGCAAACAAAAUAAGCAUUUUAUGUUAUACUUUUGAAAUAGGUGUUGAUUUGAUUUAAUCAUAAGUUUUGCUGGUGCAUUUACUAGGCUAUCAUUCAAUACUUUUGAUCAUAGAACUUCUUUGGUCGAUAUUAUCUUUGUUAAGUUUAACCAUAAAUUUAGAGAGGGGACUUCAACAGAUUUAUAAUCUCAUCAUUAUAGUAUUAAAAAUUAGAGAUUAAGGCAUUGUCUAUUAUCUGAAUUCUGCUUACUUUUAGUUCAUAUGUUUACAUCUUAGCAUAUUCAUGCGAUUAGUGCGGCUCAUACCACAAAGGCAACUUUAGGCUCAUCAAGUGCUAAGCAAUGUCAAGCUUCCAAGUGACAAGUUCUCUACAUAGUUUGAGACCUACACUUACUAGAUAUUAGAUCAUUUCGAUCAUUUCCAUAUGUUUAUAUGUAAUUGACAUGUUAUAACAAUUUUUGUAGCGUUAUAUAAUUAUUUAGCAAUUUAAUUAUUUCUUUGCAUCAAGAAAUAGUUCUUAAGUUAUUAAAAAAAAAAAAAAAGAUUUAAAAAAAAAGAUUUGUUGAUGCUUAAAAAGCAUCAAGAACAGGUAGUUUCUUGACGGUUUAGUGACGUUUCAUAACUGUAGGAGGCUUUUUCUUCCGACAGCUGUAAAUGGGCUGGGUUGCCGUAAAGGGCAGACUGAUGAAAUUGUCCCCUUUUGUCUGAGCUAGAAAAUUAAGCCCCAAAAUACUUCGAAAGGGCAGCAGAGCCUUAGGAAGUAUUUUGGUUACCCUCACCAACUAAAACAACAACAACUUACAGGUAAUUUCUUAAUGCUUACAGAUGAACUCUUGAGCUUGGCAUGAGAGACAUGUGGCAUGGAAGCAAAAUCAACAUGAGUUUAGCACUGAGGGGAAAUUUAGGCUCUCUUGGGGGAAAAAGGGAAGUGUUAAGGUGAGAGAGGAGAAGUUUGUAGGAGAUUUAGCUAAGAAAGGAGAAAUAUAGAACAAUGCUCUUCUGGCAGCUUGACAGAUGCUCUGUCUGCCAGAAAAGGAAGAUGGAGAAGAAAUGUGAAUAGUGCACGAGUUUGCUAGAUUUUUGCAGGUAAGAGAGGAAGCUUGCUCUCUGGGUCUGAGUUGAGUUUUGUUAGGUGGAAGAGACCUCAUUUUAUAGCUCCUGGAAACCAUCACUUCCCAAGAAACCCUAAUGGCUUCUACCCAUUUUGGCCAAGCUUUUCCAUUCCUUUCUCAUUUCCUUCCUUGACUUUACCCCUCUUGAUGAAAUCCUCUCUACCUAUUUGCACCAGAUCAGAGUUUUUUGAAGCUUAAGGCCCCCUUUUCCCGCAGUUGUCUCAAUGGGAGACUUUCAUUCCUAGUCAUUUCCUUUAUUGCUUUCCUUUCUUUUUUUCAUGGCCAAGUCUGGUGGGGAAAGGAGUUGGGAUAAAUAUGCUAGUUUGAAGGGUGCUUCUCUUCUUGGCAUCUUACACACUAAUACCCCUUGGUUCCUUGAAUGUUUUGGCUUUGAAACUUGCUCCCCUCCAUGUAUUGGAACCUCCCAGCAGCCCUGGUCAAUGAAUCUUCAGACCUUCUCUUCGUGGCUUUUAUUUUUUUAUCAACUGGCUAGGGCUUUUGUGGCUCAUUGGGGCAAUUGUAUGGGCUAAGGUGGUUCAUUAAGUAAGUGGGCUAUUUUUAUUAAACAUUGAGCUUUUUGGUUGAGUCACUAGGCUAUUUUGAUUGGGCUAUUGGGCUAUUGUUUCCUCUCUUGUGCUCACCCACAUGUUUGGACCAAAGAAAUGAGCUUGAGUCCUGAGGCUCCCAAGCGACCCGAGACUUUCCAUUUAUCGGUCCAUCAAUGGGCCUCAUGUUGAUUUAUUACCAUCCAUACCACACCCCACUCAAGCAAGCCCCGGGCAUUUGAGUGGCUUGGGCCCACUUAGGCUUGUAGUGUGGUUGGGUGCAAAAUAACGAUUUCGUGCUUGGCAUGUUUUAAUUUUAUCAUCCAUGGGAAAGGCUGCGAUGUUUGAUUUCGGCAUGGGCUUGUAGAGCUGGUAUGCUUUAUUUCAACUCCUAGCAUGACGAAUUAUUUAUUUAGCAUGGCACGUGAAUUACAACUCGCAUGUGGUGGGUUUUUGUGUACUACACCUUACGCCUCUUCUUAAUAGAACAUCGUUUCUGAUAAUUUAUUUGGGCCCAACCGUGAAUUUUUUGGAUCUCAAUAAUAACCAUCAUGAAACAUUACAUUUUGACUGACAUCAAGAAAUGGGGUAUCCCUUUCUUGAUAGUGGCAUCCAUGAUGCCUUCCAAGCCGUCAAUUAAGGGCUAUCGCGAUGCAUUUUAGUUGUCAGCAAAAGGUGUUUUUCUUGUACUAUAUUCACUCAAAAUCGUGUUUCAUUUAAGAUUAGUAGUAUGGUUGAAUACCAUUUGUUUUGUUAAAGAAUAUUAUACAUUAGGGAUUUUUGUAGAAAUGUCAUUUGAACUUAUACCUUAGUUUCAAUUUGUCACCUUGAAGAAAAAUUUAAGAGAAAUAUCACCUUAAUUUUUUAAAAUCCAUGAUUUGUCAUAUGACUUUAAGAUCAUCCAAUUUUCCAUCCAUUUUAAGGGUAUUUUAGACUUUUCAUUUUCAAGGAAAAAAAAGAGAUGAAAAAAGAGACCUCUCUCUUACUUUGUCCCCCAACCCAACCCCACCCGCCCCCAAAAACACAUCACAUAGGAUUGCCUCCCCCUUCCCCACUUUUCUUUUUUCUUUUUGUCAUACUUUUCCACUGUGUUUAUGUUGAAGGAUCUAAAGUUUGCUUGGUCACCAUCUUUUACGUAGGCUUCCUAAUUGUUGGUUUGGGUGGGUUGUGGGAAUUUGUGUGUGGAGGGCAAGGCUCUAUCUGACAGGACCCACCUCGAAUUCCUCGAAACCCGAGACGAAUCUUGUAGAAUUUCCGACAUCACACCGAUGCCGGGUCCACUUCUGAACUAAAUCCUCUUUUCCAAAAUUAAGGAAAAAUAGUACGAGGCUUUCUGCCAAAAUUUCGGCAGUCUUCCCUAUAAAUUUAACGUUUCAGCUUUGGAGGCCGUUCUUUCAUUUCUGCUUUGGUGGCCGGAUGAGAGAACGGCCGGCUAAAACGUGGCCAGCUGGCACUGCCGUCACGAGAGAGAGAGAGAGAGAGAGAGAGAGAGAGAGAGAGAGAGAGAGAGAGAGAGAGAGAGAGAGAGAGAGAGAGAUGUUUAUCAAACCAUUUUUGCCAAAAUUACGAUUAUGCAACUGAGGGUAUUUUGAUCGUAUCUUUUUCGUUAUAACUCCGAUUCAAGCCCACUACAUAUCUACGGACUCAUCUCGCCGUGCUCUAUGCAAUUGUAUAGUUGAAAUUCCCAAAUUCCAUCCCAGUCAAAAAGUCAACUUUAAACCUUAUAAAAUAUUCUAAGGGCAAAAUGGUCUUUUAUCUAAUUAAAUUAAUAAUUGAAAAUUUAUUUAGGACCGGGUCGUUACACUGUCGUUGAUGGACUGUGCGAUGGCACUCACACAAAGUCCUUAAGAAUAAAACACACACACACCAUGAAGAGAGUAAAACAAAUGCACAAAGAUUUAUAAAGGUUUGGCCUCCUGCCUACAUCCUCUUGGUGAUCCACCCGAGAAAUUCACUUGUACGUAAGAACAACUUUGGUUACAACUAAACCCCCUUAGCUUUCAUAAGAACCCUAGAUCUCUUUUCUCCCACCCUUGCUCCAACCCUUUGAUGCCCUUGUAAACACUCAAGAAUUCAUCCUUGAAUUCUAUCAUGUGUUACAUCUUCUCUUCUCCCCUUUGCCAACCUAACCCUACAAGUUAUAUUUAAAAUUCAUUGGACUUUAAGUACAAGUUAACUAGGAAUAGGAAACAUAAAAGACCCCAAAAAUUGGAGAAAAUAUGUCUAGAUCUCAUUAGGAAAUUGCACAACACGUGCGAUCCUCUCGAGCGCCUGCAAAAUCAUCCCUUUGCCGCUCGAGCUGCCGAUAGCUCAUGGGAUGGGGGAAUUAGAAAUUUUUUUUUUUCAAUUUUAAUUGUUUAAAAGAUAUACAAUUUAUUAAUAAUAAUUUUUCCAUUUUUAAAAUACCCUUGAAAAUAGAAAGAUUAAAAUGCCCUUAAAAAUGGAUGGAAAAUUGGAUGGUGUUAAGGUCAGAUGACAAAUCAUGGAUUUUGAAAAAUUAAGGUAACGUUUCUCUUAAAUUUUUCUUUACAGUGACAAAUUGAAAUUGAGGUAUAAGUUCAAGUUACAUUUCUGCAAAAAUUCUUAUACAUUAUGAUAUUCUAACAAUAAUUGGCUAAAAUUGAUAUGUUCCCUCUUUUAUUUUCUUUUUCUCUUUUCCUUUUCAUUUUAUGAUCCAAUCCUUUUCAUAUAUUUUUGUUCAAGACUUUGUUUUAUAAUGCUCUAUUACUAAUUUGGUACAGGUCCCUAAAAUCUCGGAGCCGCCUUAGUACAUUCAUAACGUACAUGUUCAGAGUUCAAGAAUAAUGUAUAGAAUGUGAAAUUGACGAUGCCGGCCUUUAUGAGGCAACAUCUUUAUUUCUUUGGUUAUUCCAGUUUAGAAUAUUUGCACAAAUGAGAUGACUCCAAGCAUAAAGUCACAUUCGACCAAAAAGCAUAAAGUCACACACAAAAAGAACACGGACAAUUGCUAAGUUUAUCCUUGUACCCUUAUUUUAUUGAUCCGACCCAAUUGAAAAAUAAAAAAAGAUGAUAAAAAAUAUUGUUCACUGCUUUAAAAUCUAUGAGUAGAGUCCUCCAUUUGAAAUUUGGUCAUUAUACAAAAUUGGAAUGAAAAAAGAAAAUCCUAAAGCUAUAUUUGAUAUAUUUCAUUUUCAUUUUUUGCUGGGUGUUAGGGCUCGUCAAUGGGCCGGGCCUGGCUAGCCCGGCCCGAAUUUAAUGGGCUUGGGCCAGGCCGGCCCAGGCUUUAAAGAGGAGAGAGAAAAUAUCAGGUCGAGUUUUUUAAGAAAAUUCAAAGCCCAAGCCUGACCCAUGAGCCGGGCUUGAGAAAGCCCAUCGGGCCGGGCCGGGCCUAAACGGGCCCUACUUCAUUCAAAAAAAAUCAUUAACUUAAUCAUAAGGUCAUUUUAGUCCAAAUUUGAGAUUAAACUCACUUAAUUCUAAUAUUUUUACUUCAAACCAAAUUCAUAAAACACCCAAUAAAGUCACACAACUUGUAAGAUUUUCCACAAAAAUAAUAAAACCAAGUAUUAUUUUUGAGGUUAUUACAUAAUUAGAUCGUAAUACGUUUUAAAAAAUAAUUUUUAAAAAUAAUAUUAAUAAGUAUCAAAAAAAUAUUUUUUUAAAGGAUGGUAUGAAUAAAUAUGCAAAUAUUUGGUGAUGUGUUCAAGAAAAGGAUGAUUAUAUUUGGUGGUACGAUUAUGUUUCGUGAUACGAUUAUAUUUAGUGAUGUGAUAUGUUGUUCAUCUUAUAUAUAUAUAUAUAUAUAAUUGUUGAACUAAUAAUUGACACAAAUUAAUGUGUUAAUCAUCCAAUUAUAAACUAGGAGUGAAUAAAGAAAAGUAAAUGAAAUGAAACAAAUUAUAUGUGUGAUUUAAGUGAUAUAAUCCUAAACCUAAACUCUUAUUUAUACAUAAUUAUAUAUGUAUGCGGGCCUAACGGGCCGGACUUUUGUGGGCGUGUCGGGCCGGGCUUUCUUGGGCUUAAUCAGGCUGGACCUAUGGGUCAGGCCGGGCUUCAAACACCCCAACACGAGCCUAGCCUAGCCCGCCUUGGGCCGGGCCAUCUCAAAGCCCAUAACGAGCCGGAUCGGGCUUUUUUCGAUUGGCCGGGCGGGCCCCCUCGACCCAUGAGCCCGCGGGCCAAAUGAUGAGGCCUACUGGGUGUUCAAUUUUUCUUGUUUCUUGUUGAAAAGAAAAAUGAUAAUUAAUAAAAUCUGAUUUGGUGGUUGUGCUCGUCACAAAUCAAUGAAAUGACAGCAGUGAUUUUGCAAGACAGCAUACCUUCUCUUGGGGUGCUUUUCAUUUUGCAACAUUUCUUUACGUGUAAUUUCCAGAGGAGGGUUUAUCAUUGUAUAUAGCUCUUCGGGUGGUUUUUUCUGCAAAACAAAUGUCACAAGGAAGGAGGAGAAACGGAAAAGAUUUACUUGGAAUGUCUCAAGUCUCCUUUGAGAUAAAGGCAUCGAAUGCACAACAUUGUUUUUGUGCUAUUUCAUAAUUAAAGUGUGCUUCCCAAGUCUCCUUUGCGUUUUGUAACUUGUAAUGUUUGUUUUUUUGUUUCCCCUGUUUUGUCUUUUAUAAAAGAAAGAGGAAUGCUAGCAACCUUCUCUCUAAUCUUCUCUUUUGGACCUUCUCCCUUUUCUUUUUGACAAGUGUCAUUUUCCAUACACUUAAAACAAUGACAUUAAUGCAUCACACAAUUUAGUUUUUGUUUUCCAAGUUUACCAUUUUAAAAUGUAUUGGCUUUUAUAUUUCCUUCAAUUAUUCACAUUUUGUUAUAACUUGUUUAGCACAUUAUUUUUUUUAAUUUAAAAAAAGUCAUAUUUUUUAAAAAUAAAAAUAAAGUUUGUUUCAUGACAUUGUUAUCAUUUUUAUUUUGUUUUUAACAAAACACGCAUUCUCUUUGGAAAAAUUAAAAAUUAAAAAACAAUUCAGUUUUUAUUUUCUUAUUUAAUUUUUAACAAGCUAGUAAGAAAGUUAUAAAAAAAAAUUAGCUUGUUAUUAAAAAAAAAUUAAUACAUUUAAUAAGGGUAAAUUUGGAAAACAAAAACUAGUUUGUGUGAUGCAUUAAUGACAUUGUUUUUAGUUUAAGGAAAGUGACACUUGUCAUGAGAAGAAGGGAGAAGGUCCAAAAGAGAAGGUUAGAGAGAAGGUUGUUAGCACUCCCCAUAAAAGAAAUACAGGUCUGAACCACACGGAUCUACUUGCAUAAUAAUGGACCAAAUUUAUGAUUUUUAGAAAGAACCUUCUACUGGUGGAAUCUUGGGCUACUGUUGUGGCUCUCCUCUGUGUGCCUCCUUUUUAGAAUGGUAAAAUAUUCAAAAUACCAGAAAAUGUUCAUGAUUAAUGCAAAUAUUAAGAAUUGAAAUUAUUAAUUAAAUGAAGAUAAUAUGGUAAAUUCACACUUUUUCAUAUUAAAAAAAUUAAAAUUAAAAGAAAUAUCAGAUAAUUACUCUUAUUUUUAUGGAACACAGCUACCCAUUAUCUUUUUUAAUUAUAAAAUAAAUUUAAAUUAUAAAAAAAAAAUCCUCUCACAUGCACGGAAGCGCGUGCUCAGAGGCUAGUUAAAAAUAAUGAACUUUGCUUCUGAUGUCUAUACCAGACCCACUCAACCUGCUUUAUGAUUAUACAAAGAACAAACUCGUCCUUAGACUCAUUUGGUUAAACUUAGAAAAUAAUGAAACAAAAAUAUACACACCCACAAGUAACACAGCCAGGAUUGAAAACAACUGGACAAAGAAAGGCAUGUUAAAACAGAAUUUUCAACAACUCAUCACCAUUAGACAAGAAAAAGAAAAAUCAAUACAGAAACAGAAAGAACAGAGAAUAAAUGUGGUGGAAGAAAAACGUUGAAGCCAUUUGUGAAUCCAACAACACUACCACUCUGUUUCUCUCCUUUUGUUCAGGCGGAUCUGCAUAUAUCCUAAGGCGUAUUACGGAAACAACUUCUUGCCGUUAUACUUGAAUGUUGUGGAUGCUUCAACGUUGCCAUCUGGGUGGAGUGGAUUUGUCCAAUUCACCUUCACUAUGGUUAAUCAACUAGACAGACAUAAGUCAGAAACAAUAGGUAUAUAGGUCCAAAUUGUUGUUAUUUGAAAGGCUUCUAAAUUUUAACAUUUUGAUUUCUAAAUUUUGUUUUAAUAUUUCGGCCCACUUAGUUCUUCUCAAAAUAUGUCAUCAAUAUCGUUGAAAGGUUGAACUUAGUGAAUUAUUAUAGUGCAGUACGGUAAAAUAGGCACAUGAUAUAAUUUGUCCACAUGUUCUAAUAUAAGUGAAUAUUUAUUGAUAUUAUUUUCAAAAAUAAAAAAUAUCAACCAUUACAUCCUCCCAUAUUAUAAUACAUAUACAAAUUAUACCACAUUAUCAUACUCUAAUACCAUUUUAUAAUUUCUCGUACUUAGGAGGUAUAGAGCGAGUCAAUGACAUUACAUAAUAUAUAAUUGUUCAUAUAAUGGGGCAACUAACGUGAUCAACAAGUUGUGGUGAUUAAUUUAACAUAAUAAAAAACAUACCAUUUACUAUGUAACAAUUUGUUCUUUUAAAUUGGAUUGUCAUCACUUUAAUAUGUUAUGUUUCUUAUUCUAGUCUCCCAUGUUAAGUGCUUCAGCAUUGUUUGUGGUGUGUACACAAAUUUUCUUAUAAAAUGUUUUAAUGCUUCUCACAUGUAUAUCAGAUAUAGACAGUUGAUGUGACUUAGAAAUCAAAUUGUCAAUAAAGAAAAAAAAUAUAAUUGGUGAUCGAGGUCCAAUUUAAUAGAAAAUAGUCUUAAUUUGUAUAUUAAAGGUUUCAGAUUCGAAUCCUCACUGCAUUAUUGUUGUAUGCGUACACGAGAAAUUCUAUUUCCCAAUAAUUUAGAUUAUCACUUAUACUAAAAAAAAUAUAUAUAAUAAGUUUUACGAAUGCAAACAUAAAAUUACACCAAACAAUAAUGGAAUAGAAAGAUGGAAGUUUUUUUUUUUUCCUACAUCUAAAGUAUACUUUAUAUAUAUAUUUAUUAUGGGAGUUAUAACCGUUUAAUUUUCAGUUUUUAUUUUCUAUUUAUUGUGUUAAUUUUUAUGGUUUAAUAUGUAUGGAGAUUACAAGUAUUGGAUGUCUAUAAAGGGCCACUCCUCCUUCACAUCUGAAACAAACCACCAUCUCAUUUCUGUAUUUUCAUACUUUCAUAUAUUUUCUACUUUCCAGAUUAUUAUUUUUGGGCAACGGUUUUGUGACUUGGAGAUUUCUAUCCGAUUGUUAACAUGCUCAUAACGGACCUUGAGCUUGCGUAUUGGGGAUCGUAUCUUGGAGCCUUGUAGACCUUUAUUACGUGCAUGUAGGGAGGCUACAAAUGCUUUAGGUCAGCGUCUUUGACGUACUUUUGCUUUCUUUUUUUACUUAUUUCUUCGUUUCUUUAUUUUUACUUUACUUUUAAAUCUUUAUUUUAUGUAUUAUUUAUAUUUAAAAGUUUUGAAUAAGAGUUUUACAGAAAAGGAAAAACACAAUUUCAAAUAACACAAAUUUCUCGUUUUUUGUUCUUAAAAAAGAAGAAGCAUUGAUUGGGGAGUUAUGGUAAACUCAGUUUCAAUGGUUGCGAUGAGAGGCGGUGGCGGCGAGGAGAGGACGAAGGCUUUGCUGCCGACGGGGUGGUGUGGCUGGCUGCUUGGUCCUGGGUUCUCCUUUAAUUCUCUGUUUUCUUUUUUCAUUUUCUUUUUCUCUUAGAGUUAUUGAUGUUAAGUGAAUGGACAGAUGCCAAAAUAGGGACAGAAGAUGUGAACCCAAUUAUAUACAGCUGCUGCUAUAGCUGAUUACAUAAAGUAACAAAUUAAUUAAUGCUUGAGUGGAGGACAGGCUUGAGUGGAAGAAUUGAUUAAGGCUUGAGUGGAAGACAAACUUCAGUGGAGGAAAGUAUAGAUAAGGAAAGCAUGCCUCGUUUAACGGCUUUAUCUAAUAAAGAUUACUUGUUGGCACUUGGAGUUUCUUAGGAAUGCUGGUUUUGUUUCCUUGGUGGACUUGAAAGGUGGUGCCUUGGCUCGGACAUCUCCCAAGACAUACAACUGCUCAUUAGCUGAAUAUCUCGCUCUCUUUAAAGAGAUCGAAGCAAACACAAUUUGCAAUUUGUGUGAUUCAAGCAUGAAUAUCUGAUAUAGUAACUAUACCAUUUGUUGGUUUGAUAAGAAAAGUUUGGUUAGCGAGGAUGAAACCAUAAAGUUCCCAAAACACACAAAGAACACGGACAAUUGCUAAGUUUAUUCUUGAGUUCACACAUAUUUGCACAAAUGAGAUUAUUCCAAGCAUGAUUAUACCAUUUGUUGGUUUGAUGUGAAAAGUAUGGGCAACGAGGGGUAAAACCAUACAAACACACACGAAGAACGUGGACAAUACUAAAUUUAUCUUUACGUUAUUGAUCCGACCUAACUGUAAAAUAAAAAAGAUGAAAAUAUAUAAUGUUCAGUACUUAGAUCUAUGAGCACUUGCACAAAACAUCACUUUUGGUCUUUGGUAAAUUUUUAAAAUAAAUGAAUUUUUUACUUAUUUGUGAACUGAAAUGCCUCUAAAAAAAUAAUGAUAGUUCGAAGAAUUUGAUAGAAAUUAAAAAAUAUCCUCAAAUUACUUGGAAUUGAAGACCACAUAGGCAAAAACACGAAAUUGAAACCUCACUUUAAUGAUAAAAAUGGUAAACUACAAAGACAAAAAUGACGUCUUGCCUUAUAAAUAAUUGGAAUUUGCUGGUGAUAAUAGUCGAUAUCAUCUUUUGUCGGUCCGACCUAAAAAGAAGAAAAAGUUAAAAGCAUCUUGUACCAAUUUUUGCCAAUGUGGGCCCAAACAAUUUGAAGAAGUCCACCGGCAAUUUCUCAAAAGCUAUUGUGUGAGUGUGAAGCUAAACCAAUAUUAUUUUGCAUAUCCGACCCCACAUCCCCAUGUGAUGUGAGGCUACAGAGGUGUUUCCAAAACGAAAUAUGAUAUUUCAAAACGUAGCUAUGUAUAGAGUCAUUUGUAUUUGCUUUCACAAUAACAUUUGAUUUUAUAUUUAUACAUUCUGAUAUUUUAACAAAUAAAUUGACUAAAUUUGGCCAACAGGAUUUAGCCGAAUAGAAAAGUUCUUAUUUAUGGACUAGUAAUUUUAAAUUUAAAAUUUAGACUAUCGCAUGUAUUUAAAAAAAACUAAACAAUUGGCUUAAUUUGAUAUAUUUCCUUUUUUUCCUUUUUGCAUUUUAUGCUGGUUGCCGUUAUUAAGUUUUAUCCUUAUUUUUUGUUGAAAAGAAAAUUGAAAAAAAUAAUAAUAAUUCCUACAGCUAGCAACUUCUCCACCUACAAAAAAUAAUAUUUUUUGUUUUAUCCUCAUGUGAGGCUACAGAAAAUUUUUGAAAACGAAACUGGAUAUUUUAUCUCUAACGACAGCUUUCAUACUUCGUUUACCCUGUGUUUCCAAGUUGUGCUAGCUAUUUGCAAACCUUGGAAUAUUACUUCAUCCAAAUCCCUUGCAGAGAAAAGAAAGAUAUGGCUUUGAUCGGAGAGGCCCUCAUCUCUGCUACCAUCCAGACGUUGUGUGACAAAAUUGCUUCGCCUGAGUUCACCGACUUAUUUCGGCAGAAAAAGCUCGAUGAACAACUCCUCAACAAGCUGAAGACGACGCUGUUGACCUUGUCCGUAGUGCUUAAUGAUGCAGAGGAGAAGCAAAUUGAGGAACCUUUAGUGAGAGACUGGCUUGACAAUCUCAGACAUAAUGUCUUGGCUGCGGAGGACUUACUGGAUGAAAUCGACACUGAAGCUUUGCGAUGCAAACUGGAAGAAGGUGAAGGUCAAACCCACAAUUUAACCAAGAAGGUACGUGAUUUUUAUCAACGCAUGAAUGUUGAGAUGAAAGAUUUAUUAGAAAGAUUAGAACAAUUUGUACAAGAGAAAAGUGCUCUUGGUUUGAGAGAAGGUGCUGGGAGGAAGGUUUCACGAAGAACAACAACUUCCUUGGUUCAUGAACCUUGUGUCUAUGGUAGAGAUGAAGUCAAAGAAAAUCUGUUGCCAAUUUUGUUAUCUGAUGAUGCAAGUAAGGAUGAUGUGUCUGUCCUCACCAUUGUUGGAAUGGGUGGGAUUGGCAAGACAACCCUUGCCCGACUGCUUUAUAAUGACGAUGAGGUGAAAGAACAUUUUCCACUUCACGCUUGGGUUUGUGUUACGGAAGACUAUGAUUCUAAUAGGAUAACUAAAACUCUUCUAGAGUCAGUCACCUCAAAGUCUUCUAAUAUGACAGAUCUAAAUUUACUUCAAGUUGAACUAAAAGAACAACUCAAGGGAAAGAAAUUCUUAUUUGUUUUGGAUGACCUAUGGAAUGAGAAAUAUGGUGAUUGGAAACGCCUCCAAACUCCUUUUACUUCUGGGGCAAGGGGAAGUAAAGUCAUUGUAACAACACGGAGCCAACAUGUAGUAUCUGUCCUGCAAAGUGUUCAUGUUCAUCACUUGGAACCCUUGUCGCACGAAGAUUGCUGGUUCUUACUUGCAAAACAUGCAUUUGGAAAUGAAAAUUGCAGUGAUCCAAACUUGGAAGAAAUUGGCAAGAAAAUUGCACACAAGUUCAAUGGGUUGCCUUUAGCUGCAGAAACACUUGGGGGUUUGUUACGUUGCAAUAUAGAUUCAGAGGAAUGGAAUACAAUACUAAAUAGCAGUAUUUGGGAGCUACCCUAUGAUAAAUGUGACAUUCUUCCGGCUCUUGGGUUGAGUUACCAUUAUCUCUCCUCCCAGUUAAAACGAUGCUUUGUUUAUUGUUCAAUUUUUCCAAAGGAUUAUGAGUUUAAAAAGGAAGAUAUAGUUCAAUUUUGGAUGGCAGAAGGUUUAAUUCCAAAAGCUGAGAAUGGAAAGAGCAUAGAAGCGGUAGCUAGAAAAUACUUUGAUGAGCUGUUGGCACGAUCGCUAUUUCAAAAGUCAAGCAAAUCCGGUUUCACAAUGCAUGAUCUCAUUAAUGACUUGGCCAUGUUCAUGUGUAAGGCAUUUUGCCUUAGGUUGGAAGGGGGGGAAUCACAUGUCGUAGAAAAAGUUCGGCAUUUUUCAUAUGCUAUGGAAAGAUUUGAUGCAGCUCCAAAAUUUGAGCCAUUACAUAGGGCUAAGUUUAUGCGGACCUUUCUACCCAUAUCAUUAAAUUUUGUUUCCACUUCUUAUGUAACUAAAAAGGUUCUACAAGAUUUGUUGCCGUCACUAAGAUGUUUACGGGUGUUAUCAUUGUCACAUUAUCAAAAUGUUACUGUGUUACCUGAUUCUAUUGCAAACCUCAUUCACUUGCGCUACUUGGAUCUUUCCGGUACCGCAAUUGAAAGGUUACCUGGGGUACUUUGCAAUCUCUACAACUUGCAGACAUUACUAUUGUCAAAAUGUUUCUCACUCCUUGAAUUGCCUGCAGACAUUAGAAAAUUGACUAAUUUACAGAAAUUGACAUUGCUCGGUUGUAGUUCUCUUAAUAAAUUGCCUGCAGGCAUGAAGGAGUUGACUAAUUUGCAUCAUCUUGAUGUCAGUGGAACUAAAAUUGAAGAGAUGCCGGUGCAAAUGGGUAGAUUGAAAAGUUUGAGAACAUUGACUGCAUUUGUUGUGGGCAAAUCUACUGGGUUAGGCAUAAGAGAACUGAGGCAGUUCCCGCAACUUCGAGGAAAACUAUCAAUUUUGAAGCUACAAAAUGUAGUUGAUGCGAGGGAUGCACUGCACGCCAAUAUGAAGCACAAGAAAGAUCUCAAGGAGUUAAAGUUUUCAUGGGGUGCGGAGGAUGCUGAUGAUUCCCAAAAGGAGAAAGAUGUACUCGACAAGCUCCAGCCUUGCGUGAAUUUGGAGAAAUUAUCCAUCAAAUUCUAUGGUGGAACCAAUUUUCCGAAUUGGUUAGGAGACUCGUCUUUUUCUAACAUACAAGUCAUGCAUCUCAGUGACUGUAGUUAUUGUUGGUUGCUCCCACCAGUUGGACGGCUACCGGCACUCAAAGAGCUCUGUAUAAAAAGAAUGAAGUCUUUGAGGACGAUUGGCGUUGAAUUCUAUGGCAGAAAUGGAGCUUAUCUGACUCAGCCAUUUCGAUCUCUGGAGAAGCUAGAGUUUAGGGGGAUGCCGGAGUGGGAGGAAUGGGUACCAAGUGGAAGUGCAAGUGGAGGUGAAUAUGGUCCAGACUUUCCUCGUCUCCAAAAGCUGAUUCUAAACGAGUGUCCGAAGCUAAGAGGAAGUUUGCCUUGUGAGUUGCCUUGCUUGAAGAAGCUUACGGUGUAUGGGUGUAAGGUUUUACAUGAUGGAAGGACCGCUACCGCAACUACCAAUAGUGUUAACUAUAAAUCUCUGGAAGAAUUGGAUAUAAGUGGUGGAUGCCAAACUCUGUUAUCAUUAUUAGAGACAAAGCUCCUGUCCCGACUUCGGAUUCGAAAUGUUGUUGACAUACAGUGCUUGCCCAACUGCAAUCGUCUUCAACGUUUGACUCUUUGCCUAACGCUGUCAUCGUUUCCCAAAGAUGGCCUACCCACUACAUUGACAUCACUUUAUAUAAACAAUUGUAGGAAAUUAGAAUUCCUACCUCAUGAGAUGUUGGCCAAAUUAACAUCGCUUGACUAUUUGUGCGUACAAAAUAGCUGUGAUUCAAUGAGGUCCUUCCCGUUGGGCAUUUUUCCCAAAUUGACGACGCUUCAAAUUCGUGGUUGUGAGAAUCUGGAAUCUUUUUCCUUGAUUGAAGAAGAAGGAGCUGUUGACAAUCUCAGCCAUCUCAAUUCCUUGCGUGUCUAUAACUGUCCAAAAAUGGUGUGUUUUCACGAGGGAGAAUUGCCCACUCCCAACCUGAGUCACUUUGUAGUCAUUGGUUGCGAGAAUUUGAAGUCAUUGCCCGAACGCCUUCACACCCUCACUGCCCUUCGAUCUUUGAAUAUAUGGAAUCUUCCGAAUCUGGAGUCAUUUGCAGAAGAUGGGGGUUUGCCUCCCAACCUCCGAUCUUUUAUCAUUAGGAAUUGUAAGAGACUGAGGGCACUUGACUCAGUGGGUUUGCAAGCACUUGUCUACCUUCAGAUCGAUGGAAGUGACCAUGUCUUGGAGACGUUGCUGCUCCCUACCACUCUUCACACUCUCUGCAUCUCUGAUCUAUCAACUCUGAAAUCUUUGGACGGAAAGGGUCUUGGACACCUCACUUCUCUUCAAACUCUAAAAAUUUACAGCUGUCCAAGUCUUCAAUGCCUGCCAGAAGAGGGUUUGCCGCCAUCUCUUUCUCAUCUGAGUAUCCGCUGUUGUCCUACCCUGGAGGAAAGGUAUAAGAAUAAAACGGGACAAGAUUGGGCAAAGAUAUCUCACAUUCCUUGCAUCGAGAUAGGGGAAGAAGUGAUCAUAUAAUAUGAGCUAUUCCAUAUUUCACGCUCAACCCUCAACUCUCAAAUCAAAGUCAGGUGAGGUAUGUGCCUUCUCUUACUUUAAAAAACUGCUUCUCUUCUUCUAAUUGAAUACAAAAACCAAAACACAUAUUCUCUUUCUCUUCCAAAAACCCAAAUACAUGUUGGACAUUGCCCAAAUUUGUCUCCAAAUUCCUAGUUUAAAUCAAAUUUAAUGCCUAUGGAUAGUUUGUUAAUAGGUUCAUGCCAUGAAUUAAUCUUUGGACUUUCCCAGGUACUGCAGGUUUGUUAUUAAUGUUGUGGCCUGAUAUUCGUCGUAUCAAUACGUUGAGGAGAGAGAUCGAUCAGCAAUUACAAAAUUGUUAGUGAAUUUAGCUUGUUUAUCAUCUCUCUCCUUUUGUUUGUUAAGUUUUGUUGUUCUAGGUUAAACCCUUGUCCCCGCAUUUCACAGCAACUCUGUGUUUUUCCACUCUGUUUAGAUUUCACUAGCAGGAGAGCCCGCGCGAUGCUGCGGGUUUUGAAAUUGUGUAGACAAAAUUAGAUUGUUUAUAUAUACAAUGAGAUUUAAUUUAUAACAUUAUGUUUAACUACAGGAGUGUAAGUUGCAAAAAAGUAUAUAAUAACAUAUUUUACAGGCUACUUGUUAUGGUAAAAUACUAUACUUGUUUGUAUAUACAUUGAGAUGUUUAUAGUAGGAAGUAGGCAUCAAAAUAGCAAAAGUUGGAUAGUUUUGUACAGAAUGUUAUUUAAUUGGGCAAGCUUUGUUUUGCACUUGCUUCAUGAUUUUUCUUCUCUUUCAUGGAAGUCUUGAUCCUGUUAUAAAAAAAAGUGAGAAAAUAGUAAAUGUUAAUAUUGAUGAAUGGGGGAAAUUGAGUUAGGACAAUAAUCAUAAACAUUUAAUUAUGUAUAAACAGGAAUAAUAUAAUUUAUUGAUUUAAUAAGAAAGUUAUAAAUAGUUUUUCAAUCUAGGAAAUACAAAGUUACAAAAUUAAGAGAACUAAUGAGCAAGUUGUAGAUGGUUUUCUAAUUGAAGUAAUACAAAGUAAACAUAUUUUAAAUUUUGUGUUUGUCUAAAAGAAAAGUUGAAGAGAGGCAAAAUAAUUAUGGUUGAAUAUAUGGAGAAAAGGAUGUCAAUAUAAUGUUUAGGUUUUUAUGUAUUAGGAAUAUAUGACUUUUUUGCUGUUAUUUAGAGCAAAAAUUAUUUAAGGGCUUGACAUUUCUGUUAAAAAACGGGUAGAAUCUACCCUGAAAAAUGGACAUUUUGCCAAAAAAUUCACCUGUAAACUAAUUAGUACUGAAUACCGAUUGGCGAAGGCAAGACAAUCAUAGUUGUGGAGUACAUAGUUAGAAAGAUGAAUGUGCAAACGUACAUCUAACCCCAUGAUAUACAUCUAACCCCAUGUGAACAUGAUUUAUUCUACAACAAUGAUUAUCAAUUUUCUAAUUGCUCAUUUUCCUAACCCUAAUCAUCACAAACCCAAAAUUAACUCUAAAAAUUUCAAAUAAGCAUGGUUCUAAACCAAUUUCUAACUUACUUAGCGAAGUCUUUUCUAUAAAUGAUAGUUGUUGAAGAAAAAGGGAAACGAAAAUAAGCUUUUAGUGUAUAAGUACAUUGAAGCAAAACAUGAAGAGAAUCCAAUAUAUAACUUCAAUAUAUAACUUUAAUUUUCUAUAAGUGUUGAUCUAAAUUUACAUCCCUUACCACUCUUCAAUUUAAAAAUAGUUUUAGCUACAACAAACAACUUCAGAGAGAAGAUUUGGCCCUGUUUUAUAAGGCAAAACCUCUCUAACCACAUGACAUACAUCUAACUCCAUGUGAACGUGAUUUAUUCUACAACAAUGAUUAUCAAUUUCCUAAUUGCUCAUUUCCCUAACCCUAAUCAUCACAAACCCAAAAUUAAUUCUAAAAAUUUCAAAUAAGCAUGGUACUAAACCAAUUUCCAACUUACUUAGUGAAGUCUUUUAUAUAAAUGAUAGUUGUUAAGGAAAAACGGAAACAAAAAUAAGCUUUUAGUGUAUAUGCACAGCACAGAAAUUGCAUGUAGCUUUCCGAUUUUUAUCCCAACUUCGUUUCUGUGGAAUCACAAAACUACAUACGCACAGCACAGGGAAGGGAAAAAAAAAAAAAGGCACAUUUAAGAGACACCUAUCUUCUCAUUCUACAUCACAUCCUCUUUUCCUAGCUUUCCAACCUUGCAACCAAAGCAAACAUCUUUCCUGAUAAAGGGUAGGAAAGAAAGUGGUUGUGUGAAUUGGGAUGAGAGAGACAGAGACAGAGACAGAGACAGAGAGACAAAGAGAGAGAGAGAAAAGAGAAAUCAAAGUAUAUAUAUAAAUAGUAAGUAUAGUUUAUAUCAUGCAAAGUUUUGAUGGUUUCGUUCAAAAAAAAAACAGGGAAAAAGUUUUGAUGGGUAAUUCUAGUAAUAAUGUUCUUAUAAUUCUAUAUAUAUAUAGAUAUCAAACUGUACUACCAUAUUCUUCCUAUAUAUACACUUGGUCGUCAACUACCUCUCUCUCUCUCUCUCUCUCUCUCUCUCUCUCUCUCUCUCUCUCUCUCUCUCUGUGACCUGCAUUUAUACAGAACCAAUUAUUCCAUCUUCACUAUACAUUUUCCUCAUCUUCCCAUUCAUAUUUUAUGGCUCUCUUGUUCUUCCUCCUAAUUCUUUUGGUCCCUGCAAGCAAUACUAAUUGGCCACCAUCACCUGGCUACUGGCCAAGUUCUAAAUUCAGGUCUAUGAGCUUUUAUAAAGGAUUUAAAACUCUCUGGGGUCCUCAGCAUCAAAGCUUAGACCAACAUGCAUUAACAAUCUGGGUUUAAUGAGGCCAGAAAAUUUUAAGAACUUAUCUACCAAGCAUACCAAACUGACAAAGCAAACCAUAUCUGUAUUUUAUCAUCAAUUUCAUCAAUUUUAUCACCAACAACAGAUAAAAAAAGGGAAUUUUUUCAAAAAAAAAAAAAAGGAAAAAACAUAAAUAAAAAAAGGGGCACAUUUAAGAGAGACCUAUCUUCUCAUUCUACAUCACAUCCUCUUUUCAUUUUGAAGCGGUCAUGUGUUGUGAGUUUCUUGUUUUAUAAAUUUUCAAAACUGUUGUUUAGAACUGCAAAAUUCUUCAUCAUAUAUCUUGCCUUCUAAUAUACAUUCUGUAUCAGGAAACUGGAAUGAGGCUUGCUCUUUGAGGAAGAGAAAUAAAAGAAAAAGUUGUGGCAAAGGUUCACGGAUGUAGUUGGAUUGUAGUGGGACAGAGAACAAAUUUAUUUGUUGCAGGGGAAAAGUCUCAUCCAAAUGCUAUGAAAUCAUGGCAACUUUAAAGUAUUGGACAGCAAUAAUGAAAGAAGAGGGCUAUGUUGGUGACACAGAUUCUUGCUUGCAUGAAUAAGAGGGAGAAAAGCCCCUAUGGUAUUGACUGUUGCCGCCAAGUGCAUAUUGUUAUUACUAUGCGUACUACAUCCCAAGGCCUCUCUCAGCAGGAUUACAAAGUAAACCAGAAUUACUAUCCCAGCAGUAUUCUGCAACUUUGCUCUGCACUUCCUUAUGUAAUCUCUCUCUCUCUCUCUCUCUCUCUCUCUCUCUAUAAAUAUAUAUAUACACACACACACACACACACACAUAUAUCUAGGCAUGCAUAUUUAUGAGUUCCCCAUUGAGGAGGGAUUCCCUUUUGAGGAUUUUAUAAUUAGAAUUAGACUGCCUUCUUAACCAAUAGUUGGGUUUGUGUGGUAAGGUAUGCUGGGUUUGUUGAUGUGGAUAUUUAUGCCUGGAGGUGCUUUGUUUUACUACUUCGUUGAAGUAGAAACAGACACUGACAAAGAAGCCCUUCAUUCUUUGUCUCAAUAGUGAUUGGUUUCUUUGAUCCUAUUCAUCAUAUCUGGUGGUGAGGUUGCCUAAUCAGCCAAAUGUUGGGUUCAACUACCUCUCUCUCUCUCUCUCUCUCUCUCUCUCUCUCUGUCUCUCUCUCUCUUUCUCUCUCUCUCUGUGACCUGCAUUUAUACAGAGCCAAUUAUUCCAUCUUCACUUUACAUUUUCCUCAUCUUCCCAUUCAUAUUUUAUGGCUUUCUUGCUCUUCCUCCUAAUUCUUUUGGUCCCUGCAAGCAAUACUAAUUGGCCACCAUCACCUGGCUACUGGCCAAGUUCUAAAUUGGCCAGAAAAUUUUAAGAACUUAUCUACCAAGCAUACCAAACUGACAAAGCAAACCAUAUCUGUAUUUUAUCAUCAAUUUUAUCGCCAACAACAGAUAAAAAAAGGGAAUUUUUUCAAAAAAAAAAAAAAAAAAGGAAAAAACAUGUUUAGUCUUUGCUUUCCAAUGUUUUAUCCAAAAACCUGAAAAUCAAAGUAACUAAAUAAAUGAACCCAAUCAUUCCUAAUUUCUAUUUUGUCAAAACCUAAUUAAGCUUCACUUCUUUUUUGCUUGUAUUUUAUCAUCAAUUUCAUCUAUUUUAUCACCAAUAGCAGAUAAAAAAAGGAAAUUUUUUCAAUUAAAAAAAAAAAAAACAUACUCAGUCUUUGCUUUCCAAUGUUUUAUCUAAAAACCUAAAAUCAAAGGAAUCAAAUAAAUAGGGUUUAGGGCUCAAGAACCUGAAAUCAAAAGAACCAAAAAAAUGAACACAACUCUACAUAGCACGAAAAAUCUCCCAGCCAACAAUCAAAUUCAUGAAAUAAAUACCAAAAGAUCUGUUAAAAAAUUGAUGAGAUGCAUACCUGAAAACAAAGGAUGCAACAAAGAUGGAAGCCUGAGUCGAAGCAAGAACGAUGGAAGCCUGAGUCGAAGCAAGAAAGAUGGAAGCCUGAGUCGAAGGUUGUAGAAAAGACGAAAUCUCCCGAUCCCAAAUCUGUGACACGAAGACUGAAAGCACGGCUGGAUUUGCAGCUCACCUCCCAAACAAAAAUCGACGGCCUUCAACGCAUCUCCAGCAACGAACACAACUCUUCCAUGGCUGCCCCCCAACCAGCUGGUUGGAAACGAACGGGAGAAAAUGGUUUCUCUCAGCGGACGAAACCAUCUCAACGAAGGGGGAGGGGCAAAAACGGGAACAAAAGAAACUGUUUAGUCAAGGGCAGUUUCGUCAUUUAACUGUGCUGCAGGAAAAAAAACGAAAACAGCAGAAAAAUGAGGGGCAUUUCCGUCAUUACACUGUGCUUAGCUACAGUGUUUAGUUGCAUUGGGUUUUAGUAUAUAUAUAAUUUAUGUUGUGAUUCGACUGCUGCUGUAUUUUAGAUUUAUAGGAACAGACCAAACAUGUUGAUUCUAUCACCAAAAUUAUAAAGUAUACUUCCAUUACAAUUAAUUUGUUGAUUCUAAUUUGGACUUGUAGGAACAGACCAAACAUGUUCAUACGUGGCAUUGCUCAAGUCAUCAUCAUUCGGGACAGAGAAUAAGCCUUCAAAUGUCUGCUGAGUCAAUGAACCUUUCUAGAUAUCUCAAGUGUAAUGGAAAUUGAUGAGUUACAAAGGAUUUGUAAACAUUUUCUACUGGAGGCUAGAAAUGCUUCAAAUAAAUGACUCUGUUGCAAUUAUUUUGUAGGAUCAAAGACUCUGCAAAGAGGUAAGAAAGUCAUCAUCAAGUAACUUCGCUCUUCAUACUUUUUAUUAGGGGUGGGCAUUGGAACCGCAAAACCGCAAAACCGAACCAACCCAAUCCGAAAAAAACCGAAAAAAACCGUGUUGACCGAAAAAGUCAAAAACCGAGACAAAUCCAAACCGAACCGGUUCAGACCGGUUCCGGUUCCGAUUUUCCACCUUAAGGAACCGGUCCAAUCCGAACCGGUCCAAUAUAAUUAAUUUUUAUAUUAUAUUUAUAUUUAUAUUUAAAAUAUCAAAUUUUGUAGGCCCAAACCCAACUAUUUCAUUAUACCAACAAAAAGCCCAAAUCUCCCAAGUCCAUUGCCCAAGUCCAACAAGCCAUAUUUUAAUAUCCUAAUCACAUCAAAUCUCACUUCACUCUCUCUCUCUGACGCACUCUCUCUUUUCCUCUCAGAUUUUUUUUACUCUCUUUUUCUUUCUUUCUUCUCUCUUCCGCCUCUUUUCCUCUAGGUUCUUUAACUUCUUUUUACUUCUUUCUUUCUUCACUCUUCUGCCUCUUUUCCUCAGUUUUUUCUUCUUCUUUCUCUCUUAUUCUUUCUCCUCUCAAUUCGUCUCCAUUUUUUUUCCCUCUCUUUCUCUGAUUUUCUGUUACUCUGAUUUUUUUCUUCUUGGUUUUAUGUUUCUCUCUCUCCCUCUAUAUCUCUUUCUUUGCAACUCUGUUUUUCAAUUUCUCCUUUUUUUUCUCUCUUCAUUUUUUGUUUCUCUGUACAUAUAUGUGUUCAUCUUGUAGAUCUGGGUGAAAUUCUUGUAGAUCUAGGUGAAGUUCUUGGAGAUCUGCGUUAAGUUCUUGUAGAUCUAGGUAAAGAGCCAAUUCAAAGCAGGUCAGCGUCUCUUAUCUCCCCAAUCCCUUGUGAAGAUAUGUAUUUUUUUUGUUGUCAACAAUCCAUUUUGGUGUUUUUAUAUGGUAUUGAUAUUUUCUAUGAUUUUGGGCUGAUUUGAGGUCUGAUUCUUUUUUUUUCUUUCAAUUUUUUCCUGUUGUGUUUUGAUAGACAUGUUCUCUAUUCCUGAUAUCAUUCCUCAGUGGCAAAAUCUUUGAGCGUUGUUGUAAAUUUUAGACGGGAAAGAAGCUCAUUCAUAAUUCAAAAAAAGAAAAUAAAGUUACAACAACUGACAAUUUGUUGCUCUUUGAAAUAGGUACUGAAGUAGCAUGGAUAAAAAGAAAGACUGAAGAUGUUGCAGAAGAUUGAAUAUGUUCUAUUUCUGUAAUUUGUUUGUAAUUAAAUUUGUUUAUUUUGUUUUGUUUUUAGGUUGUAAGUUUUAUUUUAAUGUUUGAUAUUUGUUGUUUUGUCAAAAAAUUGUAUUAAUGCUUGAUGGAUUCAUUCAAUUUGCAGUGCGUGGAUGUGAAUUGGGCCAAUCGGUAAUAAUUAGGCCCAAAAGGUUUUAAAUAUCAAUUGGGCUGAAACUUACAAAAAAAUUUAAGAACAAAAAAAAAAUCAAUUAAGCUGUGUGUCGGCCCAAACCGUAAAAACCGGAACCGAACCGGAUUCAAAUGGGUUCGGGUUGGUCCGGUUUUCUCAAGCAUUUUAGUAAAAAUCCGAACCGGACCGGACCGGUGAACAGUACCGGUUCCGGUUUUAAAUUGAUGCAAAAACCGGUCCAAACCGGACCGUGCCCACCCCUAUUUUUUAUUUUUAUUUUUAAAUAUCAGUAAUAACUGGGAAAGCUUGCAUCUCCUUAAAUUGCUCAUUCUUACAUCUUUUAUAGUUUGUUGAUCUUGGGCAAGUGGAGAGAGAGGCGUCAAGUGAUACGCAACAACCAUUUUCUGUGAGCUGAUUUGAUAAAGAGAAAUGGUAUGCUUUCUUGUCUUAAGCGGUGUGUUCUGCAAUUAUUUGAAACAAAGGAUGCCGCACUUCAAGUUCGAGAAAAUCAGGUAUUUUAGUAUUUUAUUCUUGAGAAAUUUGAUUUAUGUAGAAACUUGAACAUGUAAAUGAGAGAAAAAAAAAUAAAUAUAUAUAUAUAUUAUAUAUUGUAUAUGCUGUUAAUGAGUUAAUAUGGUGCUUGCUCCUAGUUGGAAAUUUAUGUAGUCAUCUACCUAUGAUCAAAUAAAGAUGAAAAAUAAAAUAAAAUUGAGAGCAUCUUCCUCUCCCCUGCUUUGCUCAUCCCUUGUUCUUCCACUUCAGCCCCACUAUUACACCAUUUUUUUCAGCCACAAUUAUAAUAGCUCCAUGAGCAUUAAGUCCCUUUCAAAUUCUGCUGACAUUCAAAAUUGGAAUCUGCUGGUGAUAUAUGAUAGCGUUAACAUAUUGUACCAUUUUGGCCAGUGUACGCAAUAUUAUUGCAUCCAACUUUGCAUAUUAACAUCAGUGGCCACAGUUACACGAUUUGAGUGCACAGAAAGGUUUCAAAAGUUGUCCCACAGAGAACAGUCGUUCAAAGUGAGAGAGUUUUGAAAGCUUAAUUACAAGUUCAUGUUGUUUACAACCUCAAAAAGCUUUCAUACUUGCUUACAAACCUGUAUUUCCAAGUUCUGCAAACCUUGGAAUAUCACUUCAUCCAAAUCCCCUUCCAAAGCAGGAAAAAAUGGCAGCAGCUUUGAUUGGAGAGGCUCUCAUCUCUGCUUCUAUCGAGGUGUUGUGUGACAGAGUUACUUCAGCCGAGUUCAUAGACUUAUUUCAGCAGAAGAAACUUGAUGAAACACUCCUCAUGAACCUGAAGACGACACUGUUGAUUUUGUUUGCGGCGCUCAAUGAUGCAGAGGAGAAGCAAAUUGUGAACCCUGCUGUGAUAGAGUGGCUUAACAGCUCAAGCAUGCUGUCUUUGAUGCAGAGGACUUACUUGAUGAGAUUGACACUGAAGCUUUGCGAUGCAAGCUGGAAGGUGAGGAUCAAACCCACAAUAAUUAACCAACAAGGAUCUUUUUGAUUGUUUGAAAGGAGGGUCUUUGAUGAUUUGAAAGGAGAGGGUUGCUUCAUUUCUGUUGGAUGCUUAAUUAAAUCUUAUCUGGACUUGAACAAGGAUUAGGUUAGCUGUAUAAUUCGUGGUAAACACCUUUUUCUAAGGUUCAUUUAGACUCCUAUUACGAUUAAUUUGUUGUUUCUAAUUUGGACUUGUAGGAACAGACCAAAUAUGUUCACACGUGGCAUCGUUCAAGUCAUCAUCAUUUCAGACAAAAUCAGCCUUCAAGUGUCUGCUGACUCAAUGAACCUUUCUAGAUAUAUCAAGUGCAAUGGAAAUUCAAGAGUUACAUAGAGAUUUGUAAACAUUUUGAAGAUUGCAACACCUGCAAGUGAGAUAGGUGGUGACGAAAUCAGAGCUGAUCUUGAAGCCUCUGAUGCCCCUGUCGUUGCAAGUUGCACCUGAGAACAUGGUUUUUUUUUGGGUAAAAAACCAGCAACAUGUUCGGGGCUGGCAAUUCAAUCCCUGAUGAACUUGAGAAGCAAAGCUCCAGUAAGGAAAUUGGUCGAGGUCACGACAGGGAUAAUUGAUGGUGAAAUGGAUGCUAUUUCUUAUUGCAGCCUGUUCUCAAAGUUCUUGUUGGCAAAAGCAAGAGAUGGAGUAUUUUGAUUGGGAGGAGAGAUAAUGACAUGUGUUGACAAUUCUAGAACAGCCCAUCUGAGUUCUUUUGUCAGGCUGCAUCAUUUAAUCCCAGCAAAAAUCCAGUUUUUGCUAAACAAUCAAAUUGUACACAUUUUUUCUUUUCGAGGAAUUUAACAUUACACAUUUUUUCAUUUUUUCAUCAAACAGUUUUCUAAUGCAUUUGUUGUCCCAAGUUACAAUGAGGAAUUUGGAUUGAGUUUCUUGUGUUAAUAACAUUAUACUUUCAUGGAAUGGUUUAUCUUCUUUUUCUGGACAAAAAUAUUUAGAUUAAUUUCUUGGAAUAAUUUUUUAAUAAUUUUUUAAUUGCAGUAGCGAAAAAAGGAAAAUUGUAUUUUUCAAAACCAAUCUUAAGUCCAGUUUCCUCUUCUUGGUCGUCACACUUGGAAAUUGCUAACCAUAUAUAACUUGGGGUAACAAUCUUAGUCCGAAUGUGUACGAUCUUAGUCCGAUCAAUGGCUACGCGUAUUGGCUCGGCCUUGGGGUCUACCAUUCCAGUGUACAAGCUUCCUGGGUCUUGGGGCAAUUCCUUCAAAUUGUACACAUGUUUUCUUUGAGAAGCAAGGCUCUAGUAAGGAAAUUGGUUAUGUAACAAAUUUUGGUCCCUUUGGAUGGAAUGAUUUACAAUGAGGAAUUUUAUUAUUAUUAUUUUGUUUUUGUUGUUAGUGUAAUGAAAAUGAUCUAGGUUCAUACACUGGGUAUAGCUCUAAUUUGGCCAAUUUCAUUAUUUUAGUUUCUUCAUAUUUUCAAUUAUUAUAAUUUGGUGCGUUGUUUUUUAAAAACAUUCAUGAGAAUCUCCAUUUUUUAGGUGUUUAAGUUAUUCAUCCACAACGGUUUUAUAAUACCGUCAUCUUUUCAAACACAACGAUGAUUUUUUAAUCUAUCGUCGUUGUUUUCUGAUCGUCUUUUUCACUUUUUGUAGUAGUGUCAAUAAGUAAGAUGAAAUAAUACAUUCACAAUCUGUUUAAAUUUUAAAUUAAAAAAAACACAAGAAAAUUUUAAAUAAGUAAGUAAUUUUAAAUAUAUAUUUCCAUUGUUUUGGUUUUCUUUUCAUAUUAGUUUUCUACUAGCUGCUAAUUUCAUUUAAAUUGUUUUUCUUACUUCAUUUAACUUUUAAGCAUGCAGAUGCAAUCAUGACUUCUUCUUUUUUUCAAUAGACUGAUUCUCUUCCCACAUAUAUAAUGCUCUCUAAGUAUUCGUAAUAUGAGUAGGAAUUUAUUUUCAUUUCACAAGAAUUGUCCAUCAAAUUCUGAUAGGUUUGUCGAUAGCACAAGCAUGCACAUAUAGACACUACAAGAACUUUGUUUCUUCAUUUUGUUUCCUAAAGAUUUGUUGGCUUCGUGCAGAUGAAUAACAAGUCUCUCUGUCCUCUAUUUCUUCUUUUUCUUUUUUAACAAUUCAUAUUCUACUUUCUGUUUUCACCCAGUAAAAAUUGAUUUUAGACAUGGGCUUCUAAAUUAUGUGCGGAUAAUGGUUGCAUUUAUAGAAUAUCCAUGGGCUUCUAGUCACCGUGGUUGUUGAUUCAGCAUGUCAUAUUACUCUUGGACUAGCUGUUGACACUACUACAUUUUACACUUUGCGCGACGAAGAACAAAACGUCGCGCAAAGUCGCAUUUAGUCGCCCCAAUUUCAGCGCGACAAAAACGUCGUCGCGCAUAUUCCGUCGCGCGAAGAUCGUGAAGAAAGCCUUUGCACGACGAGGUACAACCCUUCGUCGCGCAAAAGUGUGCGACGGGUAAACCAUCGUUGCACCAACGGUGUGGAGACGAAACAACCCUUCGUCGCAAAAAUAUUUGCGCGACGAUAAAUUAUGCGGCGCACGUAUAUUUGCGAGACGACGGGAAUUGCGCGACAAAACAUUAUUCGUCGCGCAAAAUAUGUAUGGGAGACGUAUAUGUUCGUCGCAGAACAAUUCGCGCGAUGAGAAAGUUUUCGUCGCACAUAUAAUUGCGCGACGAAAAAUUAUGUCGUCGGCCAAAUAUUUUGCGCGACGAAACAUUUCGUCGCGCAAAACGUGUUAUGUGUUCGUCGCGCAUGAAUUAAAAGUGAUAAAAAAAUAUUUGAUUUUUUUUUGUUACAUGUUGGUUUGCGCGACGAAAGAUUUUCCGUCGCGCAAAAAUAAUAUUACAAUUUUUUUUUUAUUUAUAUUUUUUAUUUGAUAUAAAAUUGGUUUCUUUUUAUUGAUUAAACAAUGAAAUUGCAAUAAAAAUAAAUUAGAAUAAAAUUUUGUUAUAAAAUAAAAUAAAAUAAAUGUAUUACAAAUAAAAUAAAUACACUAAUCAAAUAAUGAAUCAAAAUCAACCGAGUCGUCGCCAGUAUGCGGCUCGGAGGGCGGGGCGUUCACCGGGGCAGUGGUCUGGUGGGGAUGCCCGGGAUGGACGGGCUCAGAGGUCGGCGCAUCAAAAUGCGGGACUGGAAUGCCGGACUGUGCGAGGGACUGCAGAAUGACCGACAUCUGGCUCUGAAGAGUGGCCACCUGUGCUGUCAAAGCAGUGACCUGACUGUUUGACUGCGCCGAUGAACGAGGUCGAGGUUCCCUCCGCCGGGCAUUCCCCAUCCCUCGACAAUAUGUCCCCGGCCUCCUCCCGAGAGUCUGAUCCAACGUCUCCGUCAAUAUCUGAAAUCCAGCAUCCUGUGGAGGAGCCACAGACUCGAUCGGAGUCUCGGGAGGAAGCUGGGAGGCGGACUCCUGAAGAACAAGCUGGCUCCUCUCCACCAUCGUCGUCUGUUGAACAUAACAUAAAAUAUAAAUUAAAACAUGCAUAUAAAUUGAAUGCGUAACAUAAGAAUUAAAAUUAAAUAAUACUUACAUGAAGGGACUCGGCCAACUCAUUCCCGGGUCGAACAUAAACGUCACCAAAGACGUCGAUCUCUGGGAACUUGGACCCCUCCUAAAUUGAACAAGAGAAGAAAAAUAUUAGUAUGAAAAAAAUAAAUUAAUAAAAAUGACAUUAAAAAUGAAAUAAAAAUUUUGUGAUUAUUACCCGACGCCGUGCAUCCAUCCUAUAAGAAAAGGGUCUGGAGCCGGAAUGGUGGAGAAGGGUCUUCUUCUUCCUAUUACCCUUAUUCACUUGGGCUUUAUUCUGUUAUACAAAAAAUGAAACGUAUUAGUUAAAAUAUAAAAAAUUAAAUAAUAAUGAAAUAAAAAAAUAAAAUAAACAUUAAUAAGUAAUAAGUAAUAAUUAAACAAAUAUAAUUAAAAAAAUACCGCAAAUUCGGGCGCUUGAAAAUGAGCGCAGAGCCACUCCCAACUAUCCUCCCGCCCCUCAAGCUCCUUCGGGCAACCCUCCUGAAGAGCGACUUGCGGAUCAUCAUAGGCCUGAAAAUGGUGGUGCAAGUCGCUCUUCCACUGCUUGUACCUCUCAGCGAAGAGUCGGUUGACGUACGUCAACGACUCUUCGUCGAGAUCCUCCAAGUUAUAGUUCGUCUGCAAUCAAUUAAUUAGAUACGUUAAGUAAUAGAAAUAUACACAAUUUUAAAGAAAAAUAAUGAAAAUGUAAGGUACAUACCGACAACUGGCCGUGAAUCUCCGCCUGGAUCUCGUCAGGCAUGACCCUCCAAGACUUCCAUUGCAUCGGGCAAUGGGUCCGCACGACGUGGCCAAUGUCGUGGGCCAAGGAGCUAUGCAACUUCGCCGUCGGUGCAGCACGAUGGCGCUCGUCGUAUCCGAUGCUGAUACGACUGUUGGUCACCCGGGUGACCUUCGCCGUCUUCAGCUGACGACACGGUCCUCGGGUGUUCCUCUUCGCUGCAAAGAAAUAAGGUAUUAAUGUUAAAUAAAAAAACAUUGUCAAAUUUCAAUAUAAAAUUAACAAUACAAAAGUGUAGUUAUACCUGGCUGUGAUCCCGAGGCACCAGUACCGUCGGUCGAUGUCGUGUCGAUGGUGUCGGUGGGCCGGUGCCGCCGCCUAGCACUAGCUGGUUGCGCCACGGAUGACGCAGAUGACACAGGCGCCUGGGGCGCCCCGGGACCAACCACCACGUGGUCCAACAAAGCAGGAGCAGUGGCAGCAGAUGCCGACUGAGCCAGGGGAUCCGAACUCGGUGCAGUCGUCAUCGACCUACCACGUCUAAUCAAGUCUGACAUCUGCACAUAUAAUUUCAUUCAGAAUGUAAACUAAUUAAUUAAAAGCAUAGCCUGACCUAGGGUUUGGAAUUUCGGAGUAUCCGGGACUCCGAUCAACGAUCGGUCGAAUCCUAAACGAUCCUAGAAACACAAAGGUACAACUACGCGAGUUUCAGUUCGAUCCAACGGUCCGAACAUAUCAAACCUGGAAAUCGCACAAUAGGCGAAAUUCGAUCAAGACUCAAACGGUAACCAAAUUCAAAUCCGAGCAAACCUACGCGCUCGUGACAAACAGGGGAUCGCUCUGGGACACAAUGCCCCACUGCCACAGCAUCCCACGCGCCGGCAGCGCGUGGGUGUCCAAAGCGAUAACAUUCGCCGGAAAAUUCUAAAAACUAACGGCCAAGGUUCCUACCCUAGGUUGAAAACAAUAUUUGGCGCCACUUUUGUUCUCGGACCUACCCCGAAAAAUGGCCGGAAGUGGCCGGAUUUGAAAUUGCCAAACCGGCCAAAACCUAGGGUUUUAAUUCCUAUUUCCUAUACCCAUCAGCUAGAGCACAAAAAAUAGUCGAGAAAUCAUACCUCAGGCGUCGGAAAUGGUGGCCGGAGGAGAGAGAAAACGGCCGGCGAGGAAUCGGUGAAAAACCGACGAUGUGCGACGGCAGGCUCGACGGCGAAGGCAGGGGAGGCUAUGGCAGGAGCGGCGGUGGCUGAGGUGACGGCGGAGAGAGAGGGCUGAGGUGACGGCGGAGAGAGAGGCAAACGGAGGAAAAAACCAGAAAUGGGGAAGAAGGAGGCAUCGCGACGUUUCUGCAAAUUUUUACGACUUUGCGCGACGAAUCACAUCAUUCGUCGCGCAAAAUGCUAUUAAUGAAUCUUGCGCGACGCUAUAUCCGUCGCGCAAGAUCUGUCAGAACGCCAAAUUCUGAAAGUGGAUUAGGGUCUGUAAGUUUUGCGCGACGAAAUAGACAUACUUCGUCGCGCAAAAGGCUGUCUUUCCGCCAAAAUUUUGGGAUUUAGGGUUUAGCGGGAGGCUGAAACUGAAGGGUUUGCGCUUUUGCGCGACGAAGACGGUAAACGUCGCGCAAUGGUAACCUUGCGCGACGGAACGUAUUAUAUUCGUCGCGCAAAAGGCUAUCUUUCCGCCCAAAUUUUGGGAUUCAGGGUUUAGCGGGAGGCUGAAGGGUUUGCGCUUUUGCGCGACGAAGACACUAAACGUCGCACAAAAGGCUGUCUGCUGAAAUGAAUGGUUUCUGCUUUUGCGCGACGAAGACAAUAAACGUCGCGCAAAACGUUGUCGUUCCGCCAACAAUUUGGGGUUUAGGGUUUAGUGUGAAAACUGGCGCCCAGAUUGCGCGACGAAGAGUACAUAUUUCCUUCGCGCAAUCUAUUUCACUUUCACUUUGCGCGACGGAUAUGUUGGUUCGUCGCGCAAUCUUCAAGAUUUUCAUUGAAAUUUUCACUAAGUGUUCAAAGGGGAUGGAGGUGUGAAAACUGGCGCCCAGAUUGCGCGACGAAGAGUACAUAUUUCCGUCGCACAAUCUAAUUCACUUUCACUUUGCGCGACGGUUAAAUUGUUCGUCGCGCAAAAUGUAGACCCUAAACCCCCUUGUAAACCCUAAACCCUGAACCCUAAGCCAUAAACCCUAAACCCUAAAAUAGUUUCAAUGAUCCAACCGGCAAACUUAUUGUUUGAAACUUGGAGAUCAUAUACGCCAAAAAUCAAGAAGACCAAACAUUCAGAUAUCAGGGAACGGGACUAAAUAUUUCGACGGUUAUAAAUGAAAAGUCAUGAUUUAACGGUUAUUGUAACUCCGAUUUUGAUCAAUUUUGACAGCAGCAUUUGUUGACCCUAUAUGAAUACAAUGACUGAAUUUGAUCUUCAAUUUCAGAUUUUUACACUAGGGGAUACCACAUAAACGUGAAGUUACAUUUGCACAAAUGUAUAAACAAAUUUUAGGGUUUUUGGUGAAUAUAUGAUUUUGAUAGCACAUGCAGUCUACGAAACAAGUUUCAGUCAUCCAGCCGUCAAACUUGUUUUUUUAGACUUCGAGAUCAUAGACAGCAAAAAUCGGACAAAAAAAACAUUCAGAGAUUAAGCAACGGGGUAAAACUUUUCGACGGUUCUAAAUAAAAAGUGAUGAUUGAACGGUUAAUUUAACUCCGAUGUUGAUGAUUUUUUGCAGCUACAGUCCUACACUCCAUAUGAAUACAAUGAACUACUUCGAUCGCCAAUUUUAAAUAUAUAUGUGUGUAUAUAUUAUACUAUAACGUUACCUAAUAUAUAUUUGCGCGACGAAAGUUUGCUUAUCGUCGCGCAAAAAUGCCAUACGCGACGCAUGUAUAUAUGCGUCGCGGAAACUAUGCGCGACCAGUUGUAUUCGUUGCGCAAACAUUACGCGACGCUUAUGUAUGCGUCGCGUAUGGUAUGUUUGCGCGACGAUAUGGAGCCCUUCGUCGCGCAUGGAUUUGGCGCCAUAAAUCCUCAUUGAUUUCAAAUUGUGUAUGCUUUGUAUUUUUUAGAAAGGUUUUGUAUUCAUCAUUUUUUAUGCUUUGUAUUUUGUGGAAAGGCUUUGAAAUAUUCAUUUCUUUUGUUAUUUUUAUUGAAGCUUUAACUUGUUCUGUUCCGCAGAAAAUUCCAAUGAAGUUUGUGAUGAAAUAUGGAGAAUGAAUACACAACUACAUAUGGACAACUACACAUAUUCAAAGAUUUGUAUUACACAAAAUUAAUACACUAACAUAAUAAAUUUACAAAUAAAUUCAUUAUUCAUCAUCUGAACUAUAAUAACUUUCGUUAUCGUCGCUAGCUUUAACUUGUUCUGUUCCGCAGAAAAUUCCAAUGAAGUUUGUGAUGAAAUCUGGAGAAUGAAUACACAACUACAUAUAGACAACUACACAUAUUCAAAGAUUUGUAUUACACAAAAUUAAUACACUACAUAAUAAAUUACAAAUAAAUUCAUUAUUCAUCAUCUGAACUAUAAUAACUUUCGUAUCGUCGCUAUCAUCACUCUCGGUCUCCCAAUCUUCUUCCUCCUCCUCCUCUAUAACUGCAUCAUCGGCGUUGCUAGGGCCCACUGCAACAUCGUAUCGGGGAAGAUCACCGAGGUCAAUUGUAAUUGACUGAAUCGGUAUUUCGACUGAAGACACUCCUUCUAUUUGAAACGGUUCUUGUAUAACAUUUGUAUCUCGAAGUGUUUCCGCAUCAUUUUCCAUUGAAGAUUCUAAACGAUGGUCAGCCACAUUGUCGACGUCGUUGUCACUUGGGUCUAGUUCUGGUAUAUUAUACACGUUCCUAUGAUCCAUCUUCUGCACAACUUUCCACCCGUUCCCGGCUUUAGGGUCAUCUAGAUACACAAUUUGGGACGCCAUGUUUGCCAAAAUGUACGGGUCGUCAUCAUACCAAGUUCUGUUAAUAUUCACAGACAGUACUCCAUGGUCGAUUUUAACACUUCCCGCCCUAUUUGGGUUGGUAUCGAACCAUCGACACUUAAACAUGAUGACUUGGUAUCGAUCUUUGUAAAGCAAUUGCACGACAGUUGUCAGUUUGCCAUAGAAAUCAAUGUCUGUACUUUCGCCUCCACCUGGGACAUGAACACCGCUAUUUUGCGUACACAACUUGUCAUCUCGUGCGGCCCCUAAAAAUUUGACGCCGUUAACAUUACAACCCGAGAACAAUUCAGCGCGAAUUGGGCCGAACGCCAAGUUAUAUAACUCAUCACUGUAAGUGGGGGAAUUCGAUGAUUUCAAUUUAUUCACCUAAUAGUAUACAAAACCAUUUACAUGUUAGUCUGACAAAAUUAAAUACUAAAAUUUAUAUUUGUCAAUUACAAAACACUUAUAACUUACAGAAUCCAAAAACCAUUGUGGAAAUAAUUCACGGUGUUUCCGGGCAACCAAAUGUGAUGGAUGUUCUCGCUUCAUCAUCUGUUCAUGCUCAUCUAAGUAGGCCAUUAUCUCAUCACAAUUGUUCAGUACGAACCAAUGCGCUACCUCCAUGUCAUUUCUAGAAAACGACUCUCCUCGUCCAGGAUCUCCAAAUGGUCGUGCGCUUUGGGCAAAAACAGAAAGUUUUUCAUUUCUCAUACCUCCGUCAUUAUUGCGGUGAGGACGAUUGAAAACCGUCUCCACAUCUUUUAAAUACAUUCCACAGAAAGUAAGCGACUCAUAUUGAACCCAAGCCUCUAUAAUUGAUCCUUCGGGCUUUGCCCUGUUGCGUACACUUUUUUUCAGCUCUCCGAGAAGCCUGCCAAAAUAAAACGAUAUGAUACAAAUUAGCAAAGUGUCGAUAAUGAUGCAUACACAAAUGAUAAAGAUUAUAUACCUUUCUAUUGGAUACAUCCAGCGAUAGUUGACAGGACCAGCAAGCAAUGCCUCUUCUGGCAAGUGAACCAUCACGUGCAUCAUACUUAUAAAGAAAGCUGGAGGAAAUAUCAUCUCAAACUUGCAUAGGACUUGGACAAUGUCAUGGCGCAACUGAAACAUGUCUGUCCUUCGCAAUGUUUUUGCCGUCAGUUGGGAAAAAAAUCUGGAUAACAACAUGAUUGGCUUCACCACAUCUUCCGGCAGUAAGUGUCGAAUACCCACAGGAAGUAGGCGUUGCAUGAACACAUGGCAGUCAUGGCUCUUAAGUCCAGUAAAUUUACCCCCAUCGACAUUCACGCAACGUGCGAUAUUAGAAGCAUACCCAUCGGGAAAUUUGACAGACGAUACAAACUUUAGAAACUCCUUUUUGUCAUUCGGUUUCAUAGAAAAGAAUGCAAGAUCCCUUCUAGCUUUAUCACUGUCCCUAUUCAUCCAUAAACCCCUUCGUAUGCCCAUUCUUUCCAAAUCAAGACGAGCUUUGAUCGUGUCCUUCGUCUUCCCCUCGAUAUCUAGAAUCGUGCCCACCAAUGUGUCGAAAACAUUUUUCUCAACAUGCAUCACAUCUAGAUUGUGCCUCAAUUUCAGUUUCGACCAAUAUGGGCGCUCAAAAAACAUAGACUUGUGCGUCCAGUUCAAAUGUGUAGAAGGUCGGGUCCGACUAACUGUUUUCCCGAACGGAGCAAAAUCCAAACGGUUCAGCUGUUCCAAGAUCUCAUCACCGGACCAUUCUCUAGGUCUGAGGCGACGCUCUGUGUUCCCGUCGAACUCUUUAUCUUUUUCUCGCCACUCGUGGUCCCAUGGCAACCAUCUCCGAUGACCAAGGUAACAAACUUUUCCCGCGUGCCAACCAGAAGUUACAUCUUCCUUGCAUACAGGACAUGCCAUAUAACCCUUUGUGCUCCACCCAGAAACCAUUGCAUAUGCUGGAAAAUCAUUCACAGUCCACAUAACUGCUGCUCGCAAAGUGAACAUCCUCCCAGUUGAUUUAUCGUACGUGCGAACACCGUUUGUCCAUAAAUCCUUCAGCUCAUCAACCAGAGGCCUUAAGUACACAUCAAUUGACCUGCCAGGAUCCUCAGUUAUCAAAACAGUCAUCAUCAUGUAUUCUUUUUUCAUGCAUUUCCAAGGCGGCAAAUUAUAUGGGAAUGCGAAAAUCGGCCAAGUGCUGUGGUGUUGGUUUAGAACCCCAUACGGAUUGAAUCCGUCAGUGGCAAGUCCCAAUCUAACAUUUCGGGGAUCAGCAGCAAAUUCGGGGAACGUUCGAUCGAACUCUUUCCAUGCCUCCCCAUCUGCAGGAUGCCGCAUCACAUCAUCGUCUACCCGUUUUUCCUUAUGCCAUCUCAUGUCUGUGGCAGUAUGCGUUGACAUAUACAAUCGCUGCAACCUAGGUUUAAGGGGCAGAUAACGCAUGACUUUUUGUGGUAUCUUAGUCGUUCUAUUCUGGGAUGUCAGUUUGAACCUCGACUCAUUGCAUAUAGGGCAUGUAUCCAACGUUUCAUGCUCUUUGUAGAAUAACAUGCAAUUGUUUUUGCAAGCGUGGAUUUUUUCAUAACCCAAUCCAAGACCGUGCAACACCUUCUGUGCAUGUUUAUGGUCUUUCGGCAAACAAUUGUCCGUCGGAAGCAUUCUCUUGAAAACCCCCAAAAAGUAAUCAAAACACAAGUUCGACAUACGAUACUUUAUUUUUCCGUGCAUUAGCUCCACAAUGGCAGUGAGAACGGAAAACCUCUCGCACCCCGGGUAUAACUCUUGGUUGGCAUUUUUUAACAGUUUUUCAUACUGUUCAAACUCCGCACUGUCUAUUGGUGUAGGCACGUCAUCUUCCCCUUCCUGAUUGAUGUUGGUCGAUGCGAAUGGAAAAGCAUCCUGUAUAAUACCCAUGACUUGAUCAUUAGGAUCCACAAUAGGUUCAACAUUGUCCACUCUCGGGGCAUUUGAAGACGAAGCAUGGUCUACUUGUUCGCCGUGAAGGUUCCAAAUGCUAUAUGUUUCAAUCAUUCCAUUCCUUACUAAAUGAAAUCCAACAUUUUCAAUUGUCUCCCACAACGUGUUGUUACACCUCCUACAAGGACAACGGAUUCUAGUUGCACCCGGGUUGUGUCUACGUGCAAACUCAAUAAAAUCCUCGAUUCCAUCCAAGUAUUCGUCUGCGCAUCUAUUCGGGUUCUGUAUCCACCUUCUGCUCAUAAUUCCUGAAACCACAAUCACGACACAACAAUCACAACAACUUCAUACGAAGUUAUAAUGUCACCUUAUGCCUCCGGUAAGGGCCCUAUCCCAUUCGGGAAUGCAUAGUCCUGUCACGUAACCUACGGCUACAUGAGAUUAGAUUUCGACGUGGAUUAAUUUCAGCAGCAUCUCGACACAGUUCUUGAAGUGGGCAUAGGUAUAAAUACCUACGUACCACCCGAAGAACGUACCGAGAUGACACCGAAAUCUCCACAAUCGAAACCUAAUCCUGUAGCCGAAGAUUAUGUGACAACACUAUGCAUUACCAAACUGUCCAAAUAAUGGGACAAUUCAAGAAUUAAUUGGACCGCAGUCAUGCAUUACGCAUCCAUGCACGAAAUUCAACUAAUCUCGAACGGGAAACUACGUGUUACUAAACAUAAAAAUAAAAGUACGAAGUUAAUUUCAAUUAACUUCGUACAUCACAACACAUUGUGCUAUGUCACGCACAAUUUCACAACAUUAUACACAUAUAACUUCACAAAAAAAUUACAAACAUAACAAACAAACUUUUACAAUAACAUACCUUCUCAAUCGUUCUCCACCAAUCACAAAUAUCCCUAACGAUAACAAAAUUAAUAGCGUUACUACGAAUUUACAUUAAUACAUUUAAACUAACGACAAAAAAUACAUACCCAAUGAACGUACUGAAUUCACAGUAGAGCAACGGCAGAGAGAGUGAGAGAGAGGUAGAAUGCAGUGGGAGAGUGAGAGAGAGGCAGAAUGCAGAAACUGCAUUCUGCCUCUGCAAUGGAACUGGCUAAAAUGAAGAAGAAGGACUUUGCGCGACUAACAAUCCAAUCCGUCGCGCAAAAUGCCGUCGCGAAAACCCACUUUUCCGUCGCACAAAAAAACAUUUCCGUCGCGCAAUUACCUGCCGACAUCAGGUUUUUUGCGCGACGAAUACAAUUAUCCGUCGCACAAACAUCCGUCGCGCAAAUAACAUUAUUCGUCGCGCAAGGUUUAUAUUACGUCGCGCAAAUAACACUUAUUUCGUCGCGCAAGAAAUUACACUUUACGCGACGAAGGUAAUUCCGUCGCGCAAAAAAGUUUUUUCCACCCUGCAUUUUGCCGCCAAAAUUAAGUAACCCUCGUUUUCUUACGCGACGGUACAUAUUUCCGUCGCGCUAAGGCGUCUUUUGCGACGAAAAUGUUCGUCGCGCAAGAUUCUGGCGCCAAAAACAUAAACUGGGGAUUUUUCCCCGACCUUUGCUCGACGAAAUUAGUUUUGGUCGCGCAUAGAUUGUUUGCGCAACGAAGAUUGUUCGUCGCGCUAGUGUUCUGCUGUUUGCGCUACGGUAUUUUUUUUUCGUCGCAAUAGUGAUUUUUGCGCGACGAAAAUAUAUUCGUCGCGCAAACGUCCGUCGCGCAAAUAGUAAAUCGUAGUAGUGUGAUUUGGUUUAGACUUGGUUUAAUUAUCAUUGUUGUGGUUGGUUCACCAAAAAGAUUUGGCUUAGAAUUACCAGUUUUGUUGUUGGUUUAGUUAUGCUUGGCAUUUGAGGAUCCUAUGCUUACUUGUAUGGGUAAUACAUUUUAUUGAUCGUUUCAUAUACUAAUUAUGAACUUUUAGUUCCAUUGUGCAUUUAAGAGUACACAUAUUUCAUAUGUAAUUCGAAAGUUUGUCGCUGAAAUUUCUGAGAAUUUGAAACUAGAUAAGCACACCUUGCACAAAGUUCAUAUAUUUUCUUCCAGCAAGUCUGUCUAUUAACCCCCCUUAUCUGAAAUUAAUUGUUAAAAGUUCUGAUUCAUCUUUAAUCAUUGUCUUACCCUUGUUGAAUAACACUCCUCAUUCUAAUUUAUAUUCGAAGUUUGAGGUUUCAAUUUCAAUUGUGGGCUUUGAUUUUACAGAUUUUGUUUGUCAAUUUCAAUUUGGACAAAGCAUAUGCAAACAAAGUAAGGCAUUAUCUAUUAUUUGGAUCAUUUCCAUAUGUUUAUAUGUUUUUAAUAUCAUUUGCCUAUGUAGUUGACAUGUUAUAACAUUUUCGUAGUGUUGAAUAUAUAUAUAUAAUAAUUUUAUUUUAGUGGAUGUGAGAUCUCAGUUUGUUGCUUUAUAUAAUUAUUUCUUUGCAAUUUAAUUUUUUUUAUCAGUCAUACUAUUGUUGACGGCUAAAAACCAUCAAGAAACAACUCUUAAGUUUUUUAAAAAAUAAAUAAAUAAAUAAAGAUUUGUUGAUGCUUAAAAAGCAUCAAGAAAAGAUAGUUUCUUGACGGUUUUGUGACGUUUCAUAACCGUCAUGAAACAUUACAUUUUGACGAACGUCUUUCUGAUAGUGGCAUCCGUGACGCUUUCCGAGCCAUCAAUUAAGGGCUAUCGUGAUGCUUUUUAGUUGUCAGCAAAAGGUGUUUUUCUUGUACUGUAUUCACUCAAAAUCGUUUUUCAUUUAGGGUUGCUAGUGUGGUUGAAUGCCAUUUGUUUUGUUAAUGAAUAUUAUACAUUAUGGAUUUUUGUAGAAAUGUCGCUUGAAAUUAUACCUCAGUUUCAAUUUGUCACCUUAAAGAAAAAUUUAAGAGAAAUGUCACCUUAAUUUUUCAAAAUCCACGAUUUGUCAUCUCACUUUAACAUCAUCCAAUUUUCCAUCUAUUUUAAGGGUAUUUUAGUCUUUUCAUUUUCAAGGGAAAAAAAGAGAGGAAGAAAAAGACCUCUCUCUUACUUUCUCCCCCAACCCAACCCCACCCGCCCCCCAAAACACAUCGCAUAGGACCGCCUCCCCCUUCCCCACAUUUCUUUUUUCUUUUUGGCCUACUUUUCCACUAUGUUUAUGUUGAAGGAUCUAAAGUUUUCUUGGUCACCAUCUAUUACGUAGGCUACCGACUUGUUGGUUUGGGUGGGUUGAGGGAAUUUGUGUGUGGAGGGCAGGUGUUCAUGUUGUGUGCACCAAGACCUUAUCGUUGAUGAACUAUGUGACGGCACACACACAAACUCGUUGAGAAUAAAACAAACAUACCACCAAGAGAGUAAAACAAACACACAAGGACACAAAGAUUUAUAGAGGUUCGGCCUCCUGCCUACGUCUUUUUGGUGAUUCACUCGAGAAAUUCACUAGUAUGUAAAAAUAACUUUGGUUACAACUGAACCCCCUUAGCCCUCACAAGAACCUUAGAUCUCUUUUCUCUCACCCUUGCUCAAACCCUUUGAUGCCCUUGUAGACACUCAAGAAUUCACCCUUGAAUUCUAUCUUGUGUUACAUCUUCUCUUCUCCCUUUUGUUAACCUAACCCUAAAAGUCCUAUUUAUAAUGCAUAGGACUUAAGUUACAAGUUAACUUGGAAUAGGAAACAUAAAAUACCCCAAAAAUUGGAGAAAAUCUGUCCAAAUCUAGCCUGCAAAAUCAUCCUUCUGCCGCUCGAGCUGCCGGUGGCGCUCAUGGGAUGGGGGAAUUGGAGAUUUUCUUUUCAAUUUUAAUUGUUUAAAAGAUAUACAAUUUUUUAUUAUAAUAAUUUUUCCAUUUUUAAAAUACACUUGAAAAUAGAAAGCUUAAAAUGCCCUUAAAAAUAGAUGGAAAAUUGGAUGGUGUUAAAGUCAGAUGACAAAUCAUGGAUUUUGAAAAAUUAAGGUGACAUUUCUCUGAAAUUUUUCUUUUAAAAGUGACAAAUUGAAACUGAGGUAUAAGUUCAGGCGACAUUUCUACAAAAAUCCCUAUACAUUACAAUAUUAUAACAAUAAAAUUGGCUAAAAUUGAUAUGUUCCCUCUUUUCUUUUCUUUUUCUCUUUUCCUUUUCAUUUUAUGCUUUGUUGCUAUUGCUAUGUUUAUCCUACAAAUAUAGCAACUUCUCCACCAUUCAUUUGUUAGUGACUACGAUGCUUAGUAACUUCUUCAGCUCCCCUUAUUUCCAUGUACUAACCAGGGACACCAGGUCAGCAUCUUCGGUAAGAAUCCUAACUCAAUCAAACAAUGACAUCUGUAAAUAUUCAAAAUUGGAAUUUGCAUUGUGAUAGUUGAAAGCAUCCUUGUCCCAAAAAAAGCCAAAAAAUAAAAUAAAAUUGAGAGCAUUAAGUCCUUUUCAAAUUAUGCUAAUAUGCAAAAUUGGAAUUUUGAUGGAGUUGCUUCCUUGACUUUUCCACCUUUGUAUCCAGUCCACUUUGCACAAGGAGCCAAGUUUGAGAGAUAGUUUUCUGUAUUUACACCAUCCAGGAGAAAAUUAAAAAACUAUUUCAUGCCAAACUAACUACGGAUUCUUGCAAAGGACCCAUUAGUGUAGUGGUUUGGAGUAUUUACUCCCUCAGGCAAGGUCUUGGGUUCGAGUCCUAGCAUUCAUGUUGUGUGUGUGAGUUUAAUAUGCUAUCACCCCUUCCAAUAGGAAAGGACCUCAAAAAAAAAAAAAAAACUACAGAUUCUUUAAUUGAAAGAAACCCCAUAUUAAUCAUCCUUUGGCACAUAAAUGUUUGGUAAUUGGCAUUAAAGUAUCUAAAGGUUACGAAAUUAAAGAUUUUAAUGCAAACCUAAAAUUGGAAAAGAGGGCACCAAUUCAUGUAAAAUAUGGUGUACUUAGUAGAUCCAACAUAUUUUUUUAGCAACCAAGGACAAUCAUCAUUUUUUUUUUUAAGAACCAAGGAUAGCUUACAUUCUAGUUUGUCCAUCAUGUCAACACAUUUAUAAUUAAAACUUCUUUUUUGGUGAGGUUUCAAUUUUUGUCACUGUAACAAGACCACAAUUGCCAUUCAGUAUGCUAACAUUGUCACUAUGUUUGCCAAUUGCAUAUUAUCUAGAACAUAAAGGCUUUGGUGUUUUGUAUAUCCUCGGGGUGCCAAACCUGUCUUUAUAAAAAUGGUCCUUAUGAUACUACUUUAACAACAAAAAAAUAUAAUAAACUAGGCCUUUGUAGUCACUGAACGAAUGUUUUCUCAUAGAUAUGACUAUUUAAAUGUAAUUACGGGAUUAAAACAUUAUAAUAAAUUGGAGUGAACCAUAACAUUAUAUAUGAUCCAAUCCUUUUCAUAUAUUUUUGUUCAAGACUUUGUUUUAGAAUGCUCUUUUACUAAUUUGGUACAGGUCCCUAAAAUCUACGCCUUUAUGAGGCAACGUCUUUAUUUCUUUGGUUAUUCCAGUUUAGAAUAUAUUUGUACAAAUGAGAUGACUCCCAACAUAAAGUCACAUUCAACCAAAAAGCAUGAAGUCACACACAAAAAGAACACGGACAAUUGCUAAGUUUAUCUUGUAUCCUUAUUUUAUUGAUCCAACCCAAUUGAAAAAUAAAAAAGAUGAUAUAAUAUAUUGUUCACUGCUUACAUCCAUGAGUAAAGUCCUCCAUUUGAAAUUGCGUGAUUAUACAAAAUUGGAAUGAAAAAAGAAAAUCCUACAACUAAAUUUGAUAUAUUCCUUUUCAUUUUAUGUUGGAUGUUAAGUUUUCUUGUUUCUUGUUGAAAAGAAAAAUGAAAAGAAAUAAAUAAAUUACACAGCUAGCAACUUCUCCACCUUCCCUUCUUCCCAUGUACUGACAACAAGGGAGGCCUUCAAUCCAAAAUAAAGACAAGGGAUGCCAGGUCAGCAUCUCAGAUAAGUAUCCCAACCAAAACCAAUCAAAUAAUGACAUAUGUAUCUCUUUUUGUGUUUUGUUCUAUUUCUCUUUGAAUUAACUGCGAAGUUUCAUAAGCGUGUCCUCCUUUUGAAAUUGUGUAUUAUUCAAAAUUGGAAUUUGCUGGUCAUACUUGAUAUAAGCUAAAACAGUUUCCAACAUCUUGUACCAUUUUUUUCCAGUGUGGGUCAUAACUUGAAGAAGCCCACCGACAAUUUCUCAAAAGCUAUUACCAUCCAACUUUGAAAAAUAAAAGUUUCAAAAGUUACCCCAAACAACAGCCCUUGAAAGAGAGUUUUCCAAGGCUAAAGAUUACAAGGAUGUUAUUGGCACAUGCAUUAACGUGUGACAAGAAGUUAGUUAUAUUUAUAAAGUAAAAGAACGAAGUACAUAACAUGUAAGUUGAUGCCAAAUAUUUGAUCAACAGAGCUAAACAUAAAACCACGACAAUAUAACGUUGUUCACCAAAAAUUGUGUUUCGUUGAGGGUCAGUAGUGUAGGUUUCAAGAUACGAUUUAUUUUGUUAAAGAAUAUUCUGAUAUUCUAACAAUAAAAUUGGCUCAAUUUGAUAUGUUUCUUUUUUUUUUUGUUUUUGUUUUCCCUUUCAUUUUAUGCUUUGUUGUGCUAUUGCUAAGUUUAUCCUAGAGACCAGGGAUGCUUAGCAAGUUUCUUCACCUGCCCUUCUUCCCAUGUACUAACUAGGGAUACCAUGUCAGAAUCUUAGAUAAGAAUCCCAACCCAAUCAAACUAUGACAUCUGUAAGUAUUCAAAAUUGGAAUUUGCAUUGUGAUAGUUGAGUGGAAGAAUCGAUUAAGGCUUGAGUGGAAGACAAACUUCAGUGGAGGAAAGUAAUUAAUCUCACAAGACAUAGCCCAUCAGUUGGCUCAUUUUUCUUGAGUGUGUAGUCCUGGCCUUGAGGCGAGGCCACAUUGCUUUGGAGAUUUCUUUCUACUUGGUGAAAUUAUAAUUUAGAAGAAGCAAACUGCGUUUUGCAAUUUGUGCGAUUCAAGCAUAUCUGACACUAGUAAUUAGACCAUAAUCUUUGUCCGACCAGAAAAUAAGAAAAGUUGUCUUGUACCAUUUCUGCCAGUGUGGGUCCCACCCACCCCAUACGAGUAAUUUGAAGAAGUCCACCGACAAUUUCCCAAAAGCUUUGGCGUCCAACUUUGCCGACCCCAUCCCCAUGUGAGGCCAUAGAAAAGUUUUCAGCCACAAUCAAAGAAGGGAACAGUCCUUGAAAAGAGAGGGUUUUCCAAGGCCAAGAUUACAAGUUCAUGUUAUUUACAGUCUCAAAAAGCUUCCAUACUUGUUUACAAACCUGUAUUUUCAAGUUGUGCUAGCCUAGCUAUUUGCAAAUCUUGGAAUAUUUUACUUCAUCCAAAUCCCUUGCAGUCUGCAGAGAAGAUAAAAGACAUGGCUUUGAUUGGAGAGGCUCUUAUCUCUGCUUCCGUCCAGGUGUUGUGCGACAGAAUUACUUCACCCGAGUUCGUUGACUUAUUUUGGCACAAGAAACUCGAUGAGCCACUCCUCAGGAAGCUGAGGACGACACUGUUGGCCUUGAACUUGGUGCUCAAUGAUGCAGAGGGGAAGCAACUUGUGAACCGAGAUGUGAAAAAGUGGCUUGACGAGCUCAGACAUGCUGUCUUUGAUGCGGAGGACUUACUGGAUGAGAUUGACACUGAAGCUUUGCGAUGCAAGCUGGAAGAAGGUGAAGAUCAAACUCACAAAUUUACCAAUAAGGUGCGGAACUUGCUCUUUUCUCCUCGUAGUCAUUUUUAUCAGAGCAUGAAUGAUAAGAUAAAAGAGUUACUAGCAAGGUUAGAAAACUUUGUACAACUGAAAAGUGCUCUUGGUCUGGGAGAAGUUGCUGGGAGGAAGGUUUCGCAAAGAACUCAAACAACCUCCUUGGUUCUUGAACCUUAUGUAUAUGGUAGAGAUGAAGUCAAAGAAAAGUUAUCAAAAGUGUUGCUAUCUGAUGAAGCAGGCAAGGAUCCUGUGUCUUUCCUCACCAUUGUUGGAAUGGGUGGGGUUGGCAAGACAACCCUUGCUCGAAUGCUUUACAAUGACGAUAAGGUGAAAGGGCAUUUUAAACUUAAAGCUUGGGCUUGUGUUUCAGACUACGAUGAUUAUAUUAAAAUUACUAAAACUCUCCUUGAGGCAGUCACUUCAAAGCCUUGUAACACGGCAAAUCUGAAUUUGCUUCAAAAAGAUCUAAGAGAGCAAUUGAGGGGAAGGAAAUUUUUAUUUGUGUUGACCUAUGGAAUGAGAAUAAUGAGGAUUUGAACUACCUUAGAGCUCUUUUUAUUACUUUAGGAACAAUGGGAAGUAAAGUCAUUGUAACAACACGGAACAAAAAUGCAGCAUCUGUCAUGCAAAAUGUUCAUAUUCAAUACUUAGAACCAUUGUCGUAGGAGGACUGCUGGUUAUUACUUGCAAAACAUGCAUUUGGAAAUGAAAAGUGUAGUGCACAUUCAAACUUGGAAGACAUUGGAAAGCAAAUUGCACUCAAGUGCAAAGGGUUGCCUUUAGCUGCACAAACACUUGGGAGUUUGUUACGUUGCAAUAUGGAUUUCGAGUACUGGAAUAGAAUACUAAAUGAUAGUUUUUGGGACCAACCCUAUGAUAAAACUAACAUUCUUCCGGCUCUAGGGUUGAGUUACCAUUAUCUUCCUACUCAGUUGAAACGAUGCUUUGCUUAUUGUUCAAUUUUUCCAAAGGAUUAUGAGUUUGAAAAGGAAGAUAUAGUUCAAUUAUGGAUUGCAGAAGGUAUAAUUCCACAAGCUGAGAAUGGAAAAAGGAUGGAAGCAUUGGCUAGAAUAUACUUUGAUGAGCUGUUAUCACGAUCGUUGUUUCAAAAGUCAAGUAAAUUCAGCUUCAUUAUGCAUGAUCUCAUUAAUGACUUGGCUAUGUUCAUGUCUCAGGGGUUUUGCCUUAGGCUCGAAGAUGGGGUAUCCCGUGAAGUUAAAAGAGCUCGUCAUUUGUCAUAUGCUAGGGGAGAAUUUGAUGCUGCUCCAAGAUUUGAACCAUUAUAUGAGGCUAAAUGUUUGCGGACCUUCCUACCUACCAUUUGUUGUGGGCAAAUCUACUGGAUCAGGCAUAAGAGAACUGAGGCAGUUCCCGCAACUUCGAGGAAAACUAUCAAUUUUGAAGCUACAAAAUGUAGUUGAUGCGAGGGAUGCACUGCACGCCAAUAUGAAGCACAAGAAAGAUCUCAAGGAGUUAGAGCUUUCAUGGGGUGCGGAGGAUGCUGAUGAUUCCCAAAAGGAGAAAGAUGUACUCGACAAGCUCCAGCCUUGCGUGAAUUUGGAGAAAUUAACCAUCAAAUUCUAUGGUGGAACUAAUUUUCCGAAUUGGUUAGGAGACUCGUCUUUUUCUAACAUACAAGUCAUGCAUCUCAGUGACUGUAGUUAUUGUUGGUCGCUCCCACCAGUUGGACCGCUACCGGCACUCAAACAGCUCUGUAUAAGAAGAAUGAAGUUUGUGAAGACGAUUGGCGUUGAAUUCUAUGGCAGAAAUGGAGCUUAUCUGACUCAGCCAUUUCGAUCUCUGGAGAAGCUAGAGUUUAGGGAGAUGCCAGAGUGGGAGGAAUGGGUACCAAGUGGAAGUGCAAGUGGAGGUGAAUAUGGUCCAGACUUUCCUCGUCUCCAGGAGCUGAUUCUAUACGAGUGUCCGAAGCUAAGAGGAAGUUUGCCUUGUGAGUUGCCUUGCUUGAAGAAGCUUACGGUGUAUGGGUGUAAGGUUUUACAUGAUGGAAGGGCCAUUACCGCAACUACCAAUAGUCUUAACUAUAAAUCUCUGGAAGAAUUGAAUAUAAGUGGUGGAUGCCAAACUCUGUUAUCAUUAUUAGAGACAAAGCUCCUGUCCGGACUUGAGAUUCGAAAUGUUGUUGACAUACAGUGCUUGCCCAACUGCAGUCGUCUUCAACAUUUGACUCUUUCGAAUUGUCCAACGCUGUCAUCAUUUCCCAAAGAUGGCCUACCCACUACAUUGACAUCACUUUAUAUAAACAAUUGUAGGAAAUUAGAAUUCCUACCUCAUGAGAUGUUGGCCAAAUUAACAUCGCUUGACUAUUUGUGCAUACAAAAUAGCUGUGAUUCAAUGAGGUCCUUCCCGUUGGGCAUUUUUCCCAAAUUGACGAGGCUUGAAAUUCGUGGUUGUGAGAAUCUGGAAUCCCUUUCCUUGAUUGAAGAAGAAGGAGCUGUUGAGAAUCUCAGCCAUCUCAAUUACUUGCAAGUCUAUAACUGUCCAAAAAUGGUGUGUUUUCACGAGGGAGAAUUGCCCACUCCCAACCUGAGUCACUUUGUAGUCGGUGGUUGCGAGAAUUUGAAGUCAUUGCCCAAAAGCCUUCACACCCUCACUGCCCUUCGAUCUUUGUCGAUAUGUAAUCUUCCGAAUCUGGAGUCAUUUGCAGAAGAUGGGGGUUUGCCUCCCAACCUCCGACAAGUAAGUAUUAGGAAUUGUGAGAGACUGAGGGCUUCAUCAGUGGGUUUGCAAGCACUUGACUCCCUUGAGAUCAGUGGAAGUGACCAUGUAUUCUCUAUCACACUCUUCACAUCUAUUCUCUAUCAACUCUGAAAUCUUUGGACGGAAAGGGUCUUGGACACCUCACUUCUCUUCAAGAGCUAGAUAUUAACAGGUGUCCAAGUCUGGAAUUCCUGCCAGGAGAGGAACUUCAACACCUCACUUCUCUUCAAAAUCUAUACAUUUGGAACUGUCCCAGUCUUCAAUGCUUGCCAGAAGAGGGUUUUCCAUCAUCUCUUUCUCAUCUGAGUAUCCGCCGGUGUCCUACCCUGGAGGAAAGGUAUAAGAAUAAAACGGGACGAGAUUGGG
Molecule: long non-coding RNA, 51207 nt
Filed under: Prunus persica (peach)
Lineage: Eukaryota; Viridiplantae; Streptophyta; Magnoliopsida; Rosales; Rosaceae
Description: long non-coding RNA (PPER_LNC001934)
Source: RNAcentral